RNAcentral lists this long non-coding RNA (62890 nucleotides) under Gossypium barbadense (sea-island cotton). Its description in RNAcentral is "long non-coding RNA (GBAR_LNC014487)". Lineage: Eukaryota; Viridiplantae; Streptophyta; Magnoliopsida; Malvales; Malvaceae. The record is from RNAcentral.
UUUCCCUCCCCUAAUUAUAAAAAGGAAAUUUGUCAAAUUCAAUUUUUUUUCAUAAAAUACGUGAAACCUAUAUUAAUUAAUAUGGCCAAAAUGUUAAAUUUAAAUAGGUUAGAGAAAAUAAAAAAGAUCAUAGGGAAUAAAUAUAUUCAAAUCACAGAAAUGAUAGCGUAUAUAUAUUCAUAACCCUAACUGAAGAGAUCGAUGCACUAGAGUAUAUGAAAUAUAUAAAAUCUGUGAGAUAAAAUUGCUAAAAAAGAGAUCAGUAGUUGAACUGCUCAUCUGAUCAAAGAGCAAUCUUUAUUGUCAUAUAAAUCGAAAUACAUAUAAAAGCAGAAAGAAAUUACAGUACUUAAGAAUUGUUAUAAUAUUCAAGACAAGAGAGAGAGGGAGAGAGGUAUGAUCAAACACAUACAUGGUAUACAAUAUUAACUCAAACCAUCUUCAAUCACCUAAAGCAAAGGCAAACAAAAGUCUGCUCUGGAGCAUAGAUAAGAUCUCAGAUGCUGUGAAAUCAAAAAUCCAUACAGAAAAAUAAAGGAAACAGCUCCCCAAACAUGUGCAGCAGUAAAUAUAUGGUAUAGUAUUAGGUUUUAGUUCAUAUGUAGCAUACAAAUCGGACCAUGAUGCUUCAUUUCCCCAAGAAAGAAGAGAAAAGAAGAAAAGAUGAAGUAAAAUGAAAAAGGCCUUUGUUCAUUGAUGAAGAAAAGAGAGAACCCUUUAACUCAGUGAAGAAGGCAUGCAGAUGGAGGAGGUAGGGUUUCGUUUCUUCUUCUUGAGAGAAUCCAUCUUCUUCAUCUAAAUUCUCUUUUUCCUUGUCUUUUUUCUUCUUCUUCUUCCUUUUCUUGGUGUUGGGAGCUGGGUUGGGUAAGGCGGUGGGUUUUGUGCGGUUGGUAGAUAGCAAAACAUGGAGUGGCGAUGAUGAAAGCUAAGGGUUAAUGAUGAGAGGAAGCAGAGGGGAGAGGACAUGAUGAUUGCUACGCCUUUUUUUUUUUUUUUUUUUUGGUUUCACUCUUUUGGUUUGAAUUCAAGAUAGAUAGAGAGAUAAAUAUCACAAAGAUUUGCGUGCUUAAUUAGUAUUUUACCAGAGAGGUUUUGUGCUUUGUUUCCUUGUUUCACAUGGAGAUAAUUAUCAUGGACACCACCCAAGCUACCUUUUCUUUAACCUAACAGAUUGAAAUCUCUCUACAUUCUGCAUAUAACUUUUUCUUAAUUAAAAAUAAAUAAAAAUUUAUUAUUGGUUAAAAAUAUAUAAGUAAUUUUAAAAUUUUCAUUUAUAUUAUAUAUAUAUUUUUUAGCUGUAGGUGUUAUUAAUUCUUCUCCAAUAUUCUACUUGGUUACUUUUUUUUUUCACCAAAAAGCAAGUUUUAUUAACUUGUUACUUAUUCUACAGUUACUUGAGCUGUGUUUACUUUUACUGAGAUUAAAAAAUAACAGUAGAAAUAAGAUUAGUUAUUAUAGUGAUGUGAUUGCAUACUGUAAUAGUGAGAUUAAAAUCAGCGAUAGAGUAUAUGUUUGAGUGGUGAAAAUAGAAAAUAACUAUGAUUAAGAACAAUAGAUAAAAAUGAUGUAUAAUAGAAAACUUAAAAUUAUUUUAUUUUAUGAAAUUAUUAAAAAUAUGUCAAUUUGUAAUUUUAUUUAGUAAAAUAUUAAUAUGUAUCAUAAUAUUCUUAUAAAAUUUUAAUUAAUUAUAUAAUUAAUUUGUUAUAUUAAAUGAUAAAUAUUUUUAAUUUUUUUAUAGUUAAUUAAUUUCAUUAUAAGCAUGUGAAGUGUUAUUUUUAUUAAUAAUGACACCAUACUUGUAUAAAAUUUUAAAAUAUCUACUUUAUAAUUUUAAUACGUAUCUCAAUUUUUUCGUGAAGGAUAUUUUUGAAGUAUGAGUUUUUUUUUAUUUUUAAAAAGAACAUUUUAUUCUCACCAUGGAACCACCGGAGCAUUUUGCUGUCGUCAGAAAAAGUAGCAGUAGCGGAUUUUGGAAUUUUUUACUGCAUUGAGGGUGAGUUUGGAUGGGCGAUGCGUUUACUUGUAGUUAGUGUAAAAAUAGCGGUGACGGUGAGAUUGAAUACUGUAGCGUGAAACAAAAAGUAAGCUAAACGCACCGCACUGCACCCAAUCGCCCAUCCAAACCCACUCUGAGAUUGCUUCAGUGCAUUUGAUAAAAAAACUUCACUUUCCAACGAAUUAAUAUUUAUGACAUCACAUUUCUUGACAUCUUAAAAAUCAUUACAUUUCUUAUUUGCCAAAAAUAAAAAUCAUUAGAUUUCUUAAAAUGUAAUUAACUUUGUCAUGUAAUUGAAAAGUCAAAAAAAAAAAAACCUUCGAAAAAGAUUUAUCCUUUUUUUUUUUCAAUUUUUAUUAUUUUUGAUGAAGCAAUUUUCUAACUACGAACGAAAUGAUUAAAUAAUUCUAAAUUUAUUUUAAGUAAUGUAAAAUUAAGUUUUAAUUUAUAUUCUAAUUUUUUAAAUAAAAUUAUUUUUAUUUAAAACAAACAAACAAAUAUUAUUUUAAAAAUAUUUAUGUUAAGUGACACAUUUUGUUAAUAAAAAAGUAAUUUUUUUAUAAUAUUAAGUAUAAUUGAAAAUAUUAAAACUAGUAAUCUGUAUUUUAUUUGGUAUUUUAUAAAUAAUAAAUUAUUUUUUAUUAACAUUAAAUAUUAUUUAAAAUAUUAAAUUUAAUAAUUUGUAUUUUAUUUGAGGUGGGUAAUUUUCAAAAAUUACAAAGCAAAUAUAGAGGGGGCAGGAACCUUGCCCUGCGAAAUGGAAAAUUUGUUUUUUGAUUCAUUUAAAAAUGAUAAAAUUAUACUUUAACUCUCUAAAAUGAAAUAAUUUCUAUUUAUUCUUUAAAAAAUAUAAAAUUAUAAGUUAAUACAUGAUAAAACUUAAAAAAAAAAUAUAAUUUGAUUUUGACCUCUCAAAAUAUUUUUUUAGGUUCACCCUUAAAGAUUACCACCACACAUUCUUAGUAAAAUGUUUAGGGAAUCAAACGUGUUAAUACAAUGUUGUUUAAAUUUUUAGUGUGUACCAAAUAUUAUAAUGUUUAUUCAUCCGACUAAUAUUUUUUGUUUUUACUGUUUUUAGGACGUGGUUAGGGAAUGUGAAUUAGAAUACGGUGACUAAUAAUUGUAGUCCCUAUAAUUACGCCAUGAAUGUGUUAAAAAAUGUAGCUAGUAAGAUAUCAUCGAGCAAGGAUAAUUGAAAACCAAAAUACACCACAGCCUAAUUUUAAUUGCUCCCUACGAAGUAGAAACACAUUUUCCUUGUGAUUUGGACUUUUGGAUUUCAAUGGCUCCAAAACCUCAAUCAAAACACCAUUUUCAUAACUUUUUCAUAUAUAUAUAUAUAUAUAACCUUAAUAAGAUGAUAGCAAAUAUAAUGUUCAAACUCUUUUCAUAUAAUUUCCAUGACAUACAUAUUAUAUUUGAUUUGACGAGGUAUUCAGGGUUAACAAAACUUGAUUUAAUUUUAAAAAAUUAAAAUAAAAAUUAAAAUUUUUAGUUAAUCGAAUCGAGUUAUUCAAGUCAACUCGAAUAAGUAACUCAAGUUUUGAGCUUGAGUCGAGUUGAAUCUUACAAUUUGAACAACAAAUUAGUGUAAAUUAUAUCCUUUUGGUCUUUGUCAAUUUUGAAAAUGAGAAAAUUGAUCUCUCUCAGUAAAACUUAAAAAAUAAUUUUAAAAUAAUUUUCAAAAAUUCAAAAAUUAUAUUUUUUUUAUAAAAUUUUUUAAAAAAAUUUAAAGAAUAUAUAAAGAAAUUUAAAAUUUUAAAAUUUUUCUAAAAUGAUAAUUUUGGGACAUAAGUUAAUUAAAGAUUCAAGUUUAUCAUAAGUACCUUCUUCUUCUUUUUUCCUUGCUUUGAAAAAAUAUUCAAAUAUGUAUGGUUUUAAAUUUAUGUGCUCUAAGAUGAAAUUAAUUAUACUAAAACAAGAUUUUAAUUUAAUAUGUUUAAUUUUUUAAUUUAACUCUAACAAUUUUAUUCGACUUUUCAAAUUGUAUUAAGAUAAUAAAAUAAAACUCGAUUAAUUCAAAAUUUUUUUUCCACUCAAAUUGAUUCUAUACGCUUAACCCUACACUUAUGUAUGCUGAUAGAGGGCUUAUACGACUAGCUUUGAUGUAGUCCAGUUAGCUGGAAGUAUGGCUUAAAUUUGACAAGCCAUUUCACAUAUUUCAAAGCAAUACGAGCAUAUAUAUAUUGGUAAUGCGAAAACUGGGGAAGGGAAGCUGUUUCCUGUUUGUAGGAUGAUAAAAUUUGGACCUCCAAUGAAGAGUUCUUUUUUGUUUCAAUGGCGGUUUAUUUGGUUUGAAAAGCUAUUAUGCAGCAGAUACGUUAUUCACUUGCAUUGUUCUACCUCGUUUUGAUACUUUAAAAUUGUUAUUUUACCCACAUAAAUAUAUAUAUAUAUAUUUAACUUUUGAAUGUAUCAAUAUAUCAUACAUUAAUAAAUCUUAAAAUAUUUAAAUGAGAUAUUUAUAAGUUAUUAUUUAAUGAUUUAUAUAUGUCAAAUACAUAUUAAAAUUAUUAAAAAUAAUUAAUAAAUAUUAAUUGAGUAGGGCAAGUUUGGUAAUAAUAUAACGAUGAUAAAUUUGACAAUAUCCAUUUCGUUCCUCUCUAAUACAAUAAAUUUUUUUAUUUAACACGUAUGAAUAGAGAAAUCCUAAAACUUACCAUACACAUAAAUACAUUAGGUAUAGCCCAUAGUCAUCACAUCAGUAAUCAACCGAUUUGCAUAUUCGGACAAUGACUUUCAAUUUUGUUUUAAUCUUUUAAUCUUAACAUAUAGAUGGGGUGAUGGUUAAUUUUCUUUUUAAAAUAGAAUAUAAUUACCUCAUACGAUUUUUUUUUGUCAAAAUAAAUUUUAUUAAUGAUAAAAAGGUUACAAAAAUAAACAUCAAUAACUCUUAAAAUAGAAAAAUUUUCAUUUAAUUUCUUUUAUAAUUUAUAAAAUUUUAAAUUAGUAAUGGUAAAAUUAUUCUUUGACCUCCUAAAAAAUGAUAAAAUUUUGAUUUAAUCAUUUAAAAAUUAUAAAGAUAUAAAAUUAUAUUUUUUACUAUUAUAAAAAUAUAUAAUUUAAUUCUAGCCCCCUAAAAAAAGUUUCUAUCUUCACUCCUGUCGAUAGCAAACAUGCAUCUAUUUGAUACACAAUUGAGAUAUGAUAAAAUAAUUGCAACAAUAGUUAUUAAGAUUUAAAAAGCUUAAAUUUUACUCUUUUACACAAUUGAGAUAUAAUAAAAUAAUUGCAACAAUAGUUAUUGAGAUUUAAAAAGCUUAAAUUUUUAUGAAAGGGAUAUGGUUAUCCUUGGAAUCUUGAAAUUUAAUCAAUGUGGACCUAGUUGAGUACAUGUUGAAUGUUGAUGUUAAACCUUAAAUUGUCCCCCCAGGCCCUUGCUAGGUUGCACUGUUUUGUUUUUGUUAGGCAAGAUAAUUUCUCUGCGUAUUUAGUUACACCAUGGUGUUUCUCGGUGUACCAAUAUAAUUAAUUAAGAUUUCUCACUUUAUAAUUAUUGUAAUACGAUGUCAUGAAAUUACUAAAGAUUAAUUUGUAAAACACGCAUAAAUUCCCCUGGCUAGAUUUCAUCAUCAUGACGGCUGGUUGCAAACAUGAUGGUGAUGAUCAUUGUUCAUGGAGAUCUAGAUUUGGAUGACUAGAUCACGUGGAGAAGAGUUCACGUAAGGCAAUGAAAGCUAUGGUGAAAAUGCAGAUAAACUUGCUAAUUUCAGGUUAAAUUGUUUUGUGGGGGGAUAUAAGCAAUCAUGUGAUUAUUGUUCUUUGACAUGUUGGAGGCUCUAUCUUUGAACUCCCAUGCAAAGAUUUCGUGAGGCACCAUGAUGACAUGAGGCAUUGGAUUCUUCAUUUUGUCAACACAGCAUUCAUUGUUGUCUUUUGUCCAUGCUUGCACCUUAAACCAGAUUAGCUUAAAAACUAAUCCACAUGUAUUGCGUCAGGAAAUUCAAACAUAUAUUGAUUAAAGCUUAGAAGGUGAUUAAGCGGAGACAAGAUAGAGAACAUGAUUAUGGGUUGAAAAUAACCUGUGAAAUUCCAGGAAAUGUUAAGAGAGAGAAAAAGAAAACUGAUGUCCAACGUAUUUAGUACUGAAUGAAGACAAACUCACAAGCUUCCAAAACAUGUUAAAGAAACCAUAUAUUCUAGUUAGCGUUAUUUAAGAAUUGUUUUUAACUUUUUAGUAAAGAAGAUCACAAACAUUGAUGAUAGAAUGGCAAAGGCAAGUGGUGAAUGAAUCAACAUUUUAAUCCAUUUCUUGAUAACUUUAUGUUUGACCCUCAUAAAGUUAGGCACUUUAAAUGGACUUAACUUUUACAAAAUUUUCUCUUUUGCUCUAGUUUCUUCUGGGUUCAAUAUAAGCAAUUUUAACCCAUUCUUUAUAUGGAGGUUAAACUAUUCAUAAACUCCUAAAUUCCAAUUAAUUAAAUUGAAGUAUAUUACACACCUAUUCACAUUUAAACUCGUAGCAACUAUGGCAUACUCGAUAUAUAUCACAGUACCCCAUCGCAACUGUCGUCGAAAUUUCUCUUUUAUCAAACCGGCAUAUGAUUUCACCACCGAGAAGUGGUUCUGUCAUUUCAAAGAGAAUGAUCAUAAACAAACAGCGAUCGUCCUUUUGAAAAUUUUGAGAGCCACUUUAGUUUCUUUGGGGAAAAAUGCCGACUUUAUAAGCUUGAAAGAGUGAUUGUGAUGCGUUACUGCUGGCCGUGGUUAAAACUCUUGAAAAUUUUGAGAGGGGGUUUGUUUCGAAAACAUGGUCCAUUUCGAAUGCUCAAAAAUUUAAAAUGUUGGUUGGUGAGAAAUAACAGGAUGACGUAAGCCCGUUUUCUCCACCACAGUAAUGAUUAUGACUCCAUUUUGUGGGACAAACAGAAAGUCGUGAACUUUGGGAUGAAAUCAAUUCUUUUAACCUUUAUGCUCCACCGCCAACAAAUUCACCAGCUUUUACCCAAGUUACCUGACCUGCAAGACUUUGUCAAAACUCCCCCAACAUUCUUCAAAGUAAAUUAAAUUAAACCAAGGGAAAAGAAGAAGAAAGAAAAGCAGUUAAUUUUCUUGAAAAGUUCAAAUCCGAGGACCCCCCACAAUGUAAGGAGGGACGAUGAUCCAGGAAAUGUUGGGUCAAAAAGCGCAAUAUAUCAGUGUUGCAUUAAAAGAAAAAGUCUGAAACCACUGUAUAAAGUUGACCUGGAGCUAACAGUUUGCUAAACAUACUUUCUUUUUACUAGUCUCAUGGAAAAAUGCUCGAAAAUAUUUUAAAUUUACUAGAUUAAGUUGAAUUUUGAAAUAAUUACAGGAAUAGGUUAAUUUAGGGAAAAUACUUCCGGUUCAGGUGAAAUGUAGAAAAAUAUUUCCAACUUGAAGCUCUUUCAAGUGAAAUAUAGAAAAACACUUCCAGCUGGAAGCGUUUUCAGGUGAAAAACACUUCCAGCUGGAAGCGCUUUCAGGUGAAAUACAGAAAAACGCUUUCAGUUGGAAGUGCUUUUCGCAUGUUACCAGUAAAACGCUUCCAGCUGAAAAUAUUUUUCUCCGAAUUAUAUUAGGGUUCAAGGUUUUUAGGGUUUGUUUAGGAUUUUUAGGGUUUUAGUGGUUUUGUUAUUAGGGUUUUUAAGUAGCAUUGUGUUUAGGGUUAUUUUAGGGUUUUCAGUUUUAAAUUUUAAAUUGAUAAAAUAUUUAAAAUAAUAGUAAUUGUAAUUGUCGAAACCAUUUUUAAAAUUAAAAAAAUGAAAAUUUAGUUGUCGACUUAGAAAAGAAAAUUGAGAGUCGCCACCGAUCUUUUAUUAAGGUGUGAUCGGUUUACCAUUAAAAAUAAAUUUUAGGUCUGCGAGAUUUGAAAAAAUAGGUUCGGGAUUCGGUUACGUACGAGGAAGGGUUAGCACCCUCGUAACGCCCAAAAUUGAUACCGAAUCGAUUGUUUAAUGUCUUAGUGUUGAAACUUUGAAAAGAUUUUAAAAUACGAUCUUUUGAAAAGAAAAUUUGAGUAAAAUGAAUUGGAUGAUAAAACUCACUUAUUUCGAGGAGAUAAAUUGCCACACUCAGUAAGUUAGAGUGCGACAGUUCAAUCUUCGAAAUUAGGUAUAUCUUUUAAAUUUUUAAAACUCGCGUAUUUUAAUUUGAUAAAGAUAUCUGGUUAUUUGAGUCAAACGGUAAGUUAAAACCCAGUAAGUUAGGGUUUAAUUUCUCGAGAUUCAUAAACACCAAAUAUUGCCUUUAUCCUAAAAAUCCUUAACUGGAGGUAGUAAAGUUGUCAGAUCCAGUGAGUUAGGGUCCAACAUUUUGAAGUCCCGAGAAAAUUUAUUUAAAAUUACGGUUUUAUUUUAAAGACAUUGGCCACCUAAAUUCAACGAAGAAAAUCGAAGCCCAGUAAGUUAGGGCACAAUUUUCUCGAGAAUCAUUGGAUGUAGGGUAUUUUGGAAACUUAAAACUAUUUCGAUAUUUUAGUAAAAUACAAUCUCUUAAACAAUGUAAUAUGGCUAAAUGUUUUCCUAAAAUGCGAAAAGGAUAAUUCAAAGAUAAAAUGUACAUCAAUGAACAAUAAGCAACCAAUGAACAAAUACGAACAAGCAUGAUAAUAAUAAUUCCAAACAUACAUCACACAAAUAUCAACAUUGGCUAACAAGAGAAGGCUAAUUAAAGGUCAAGCGAAUUCACAUAGCUCAAAUGAAAUAUAUAAGCUUAAACCUAAUUUAAAUAAAUUAAAAAAGUUGAAACAAAUUUGAAUGAAUUAACAAUGUUUAAAAUAGGUUGUUAAAAUGUUUGAGAGAAAUAAAAUAUCUAUAUGAUAAUGUGAAAUUAACAAUGGAUUAUGUACGUAUGUAUGUAUAUAUGAUGAAAAUAAUUCAAUAUAGAAUAAGUAUACAUAUGUAGUAUUAUCACAUAAUAAUAUUACUUGAAAAUGUAUAUUUAUAAAUCUAAGAUAGGUAAUGAGUGAAUUUAUAAAAAAGCACACUUAAGAUAAAAUAAAUUUAAGAAAAUAUUAAUAAUAGUAUGUCCUAAAAAAGGGUAAAUAUAUGUAAAAUGUUGAAAGAAACCUUAAAAAGAUGCAUGCAAAAUAAAAUAAUGCAUAUAUACGAAAAGCGAAUAUAUAAAAAUGAUAAUAAAUAUAAUAAUGAUAAAUAUACGUAGGAUAAUACUAAUAAUAAUAAUAACAAUAAAUUUGUUAAUAAAAAAACUGAAUAAUGAAAAGAGUUAAAUCACAAUCGAAAUCGAAUUAUCAGGAAAUAAAUAAGAUUAAGCUAAAAUUGAGGGCCAUACUGCAAUGUGUGGAUUACAUGGGGGCCGAUUGGGAAAUAUCUCGCUUCCCCAAAACGCAGCGUUUGCAAGCUGGGUCGAAAUGCAGCAAUGACAAAAUGCAGAGCCAAAAUUAAAAAAAAUAAAAGGACCGAUUUAACGCUUCAUGAAAAUGGAAGGGACCAUUUACGCAAAUCAUCCAACAGAGGCCAGAACGCAUGGAUCCUUCCCUGGGUCGGGUCACGGCGCGGGUCGUUGGGGUUAAUCGACCAACACGACACCGUUUAAGGGCCACUAGAACAGGCCCUAAACGGUGCCGUUUUACACGCUAUAAAAGGGCACCCCAAAACCCUAAAAUCAGUCUGUUGAAAACAGACCCUAGCCACUAUCCUCCUGCACUGUUCGAUGAACCAAUCUCUCAGACCGUUCGAUCCCCACUCAACUCCGAUGACGACGGGGGAAGAGAGGAUGCGGUCACCAGGUACUUUCUUCCCUUCCUAAACUCUCCUUUCGUUGUUUCGCACAUAUAAAAAAAACAGAAAAUGAAAAGAAACAGAGAAGAGAAAGAGCACCAAAAAAAUGCGAAUCACCUUUCCAAAAUUUUUUAUUUCGAUUCCCCUCAAUGUUUUUUUUUUGUUUUUUUGCAUACAAAUAUCUGUGUAUUCUCUCCUUUGCCUUUUUUUGUAUUUCAAUAUGUGUGUCCGUUUUUACAGCAUUUGAAUGGUCUUUUUAUGGCCAGAAUUACAAAAAAAUGAAAAGAAAAUAAAAGAAAAUGCUCCCCCCAAAUCCCCUCUGUUGCCCUAUUCUACUGUCUUUCUCUGCUUGUUUUCGUGUGUAUUUUGCAGGUACGAGGGCAGAGGUCGACGUGGAGGUACGGAGGUAGGGGCACAAGCGUAUAGGGCUUGUCACAUAGCGGUGGUGCACGUGCGAAAAGGAGACUGCUGAGGCGCUGGGCUCAUUUACUGCUAGGGUUUCCGGUGCUUGGGCUGGGUAUUGGGUUUGUGAUACUUAGGUAGGGUUAGGUGACUUGGGUCUUUUGGGCCACUGUAAUCAGGUUCUGAAAAUUGGGUUUGGUAUUUAAAAGUUGGGCUUAUUGUAUUGGGUUGUAACUGGACUGUGGACUUUUAAUUUUUUAAUUUGGUUUUAUUUUAUUCAUUUGUUUAUUAGGUUUAUUUCACUAACGGGUCGGGCAUAUUGGGCCUAUUAUAGUAAUUAUUGAAUUCAAUAUUUAAAAUAUUCGUAUUUACACUAAUUUUAUAUUUGAAUUUCAUUUUACAAAUCGAUUAAAAAUAGAAACUGGGAUUACUCGGUUCAAAUGCAAAACUAGUUUUAAAAUUUUUUGCCUUUUUUUUAAUUCUAGCUUGAUUUGAUAUUUCAAUAAAAUACUUAUCAAGUGCAUUAUUUUUGACAAGAUGAGUUCUAAAAAUAUAUCUUGGGAAUCACGGGAUAUCUGAAAUAUGAUGUGAAAUUCACCUGUUAGUGGGAGGGUUGAAAUUUGUAGAGACAAAAUGCUCUAAGCAGGACACACUGUUAACAAAAUUACUGAAAACGCGUCCAGCUGGAAGCGCUUUGAGCUGAGGUAGCACUAAAAAUGUUUCCAACUGGGCGCGCUUUCAGUACUUCUGCUAACAGUGCGUCCUGUUUGGAGUAUUUUGUCUUUACAAGUUUCAACCCCCUACUAUCUGGGGAAUUUUUUCAAAAUCAAACAGGAGGUCAUCCCCUAGGCUAUAAAUGUAACAUAUUUCAGUCUCUGAUGGCAUAAGUCAUUAUGAGGAAAUAAAAUUUUAAGAAGUUCAGAAAAAUAGAAGUUCGCAAGGAAGGCAUAAGCUGGAGCGACGAUACUAUUUGUAUAAAAAGUAAGCAUAAGCAUUGAUUUUUGUUGUUAAUAUUUAUUUGAAGCAUUAUUUUUUUGCAUGAUUUUUUUUGUUUCGAACUUCUCUCGACAGAUAAUUCAGUUCAAAAUGAGUGGACGGAUUAAUGAUAUUAUUUAUUACGACGGUGAGGUCCGUAACACUGAGAACGACGUGGUUUUUUUAUCGAAGAACACAAUGCGGAUGACAUUUACCUAGAACAUUGCUAGAACUCUAGACAAGAGUUAGGUGAAAAAUCAUCGAAACCAACCAGAUGAGAGUAUCAUCUUUUAAGUAUAGAUUUUGUGCUUCGAUCGACCCCGUGAGAUAUGACGUUUUCAAUAUUAAAGGUGCUAGGGGCUUAAAGGCGAUGAUACAGACACAUAUCGAUAGUGGAUCACCGUUUCUCGAGUUAUAUAUAGAAUUUUCAAGGGCAGAUGAAGGCCUUCGAAUGUCGACAUAUGUUCCUGUUCGAGAGGUCAAAAUGGUUGAAAAUACAGAUAGUCCAACGACACAGUUGUGUGGCGGGUUCACUACUUUGUUAGAAAGUUCUCAUUAUGACAUCUCGAAAUCAUCGAUAGGAAGACACUCAUCCGUCUCGGCCUUAGAUUUCAACCCUGGGAGGUAGAACACCGAACAAUCAGGUUUUAGUGGUAGAACGGAAUACACGACCCUUGCACAACACUUAAUUAGUGGGUUAGACAUGAACUUCGGUCAAUCGAUGUUCAACGUUGGGAAUACUUACUGGAGAAUAAUAGCAACUUCCAACGGUUGGCAAUCGACAAGUGAUUCUAGACUUUUCGACAACUACACAAGAAGAGAUGAUGUACUCCUUACGAUGUCCACUGGCGAGGAGACAUCUAACACGACAGAUGUUGGCGGGUCCGAGAAUAAAGAUGGAAAUGAAUCUGAUGCCGAUCCAGUCCAGGAGAUCAGUGCCGACGGUUUAUAAAUUGUAUUAUUUUCUAAACCGGAGUCUAUUUUAACUAAAUUAGAAGACGAUGAAAGGGGUGAAGAUGAAGAAGAAAAAUAUCCAUGAUUCACGGUGUACUCACCUUCAGCCCACAUGCAUAAUGUCAACCUAUUGUCAGAAGAUGGGUUGGAGUUUGCAAAACUACCAUAAAAGAGGCCGAACUACGCGAGUUUUUCGUUGGAUUCGGGCGAUUUGGAAGUGGGCAAGGAGUUUUUCACUAAAGAUAGUUUUGUCGCUAUAGUAAAGCGAUACAACAUCAAGAACGAGGUUAACUUCCACGUUGUUAAAUCCUAAUCUAAGAAGUUCAAGGCCAAGUGUGCAAUACUAGACAGUAGAUGCACAUGGAAAAUCAUGGCUUAUGUUAAGAAGAAGACAUGGUUGUGGACGAUAAAAAGUUUACCGCUCUACAUACGUGUGUUACUACUGGUACUGUAUUAAUACUGGUAUAGAUUAUGACAUAGUUGAAUUACUAAAUUUAACGUACUCGUGGCGUUGUAGGUAUUUUACGAGAUCAUCCAAAGUUGGAUUCAGAGAUGAUCAUAGGCAUAAUACUACCGAUGGUAAAAGUAAGUCCUAAGAUUAUUGUGUCUGGUUUAAUUACAAAUAUUUAUAGUCGAUUCAAUUACACGCCAUCGUACCGCAAAGAGUGUGCAACAAAGCAGAAGGUAUUUAAGAAGAUGCACAAUGGGUGGGACGCGUCAUACAACGAGGUAUGACAGUGGUGUCGGGUGUUGGAAAGGUACGUCCCAAGUUGCGUAACUGAUUUGGAAACGAGGCCCGUGUACCACAACGAUUGCUAGCUCCAUGGAUGUCAAGUGUUCCAUUGUUUGUUUUGGACUUUCAAGUAAUACUCUCAAGCAUUCCAGUACUACAUUCCAGUACUCAUCAGCUGUUGUUGGCUAUGGAAUAGGAUGGCAAUCAGAGAAUCCUUCCAAUUGCGUUUGCAAUAACUCUAGGGGAGUCAGUAGACGACUGGGUGGUCGAUGAUUGCGCGUUAGAUUCUUUCUUGAUUCAGCAUCUGGUUGGGGUUGUGGUCAUUCCUUCUUCGCCUUCAGUUGACUGCGAUUCGUACAUUCUCGGUUGCUAUCGUGCACACUUUGUUCUAGAAAUAAGUGAUUGAGAAGAUGGCCUACUUUGGUAGAACAAAGAUCUCGAAGGUGUUUGCGUCCCAAAUGGUGAAUGAGCAUAACUAUGUUGAGUUCCAUACACCGAUAGGAUAAUAAGUAGACUCUCCGUCGGUGCCUGAAACACAGAUGGCCUAUAUGUCGUCAUUAGAAAAGUAGAUGACAUGGGCGUGUAAUACAUCGGGGAUGGAUGUUCAAAAGUCCAACUUGACAUAAGAUUAGAAGUAGAAAAAUAUGGUGCAAUAUAUGGUACUUGUGUGAAGAUGAUAGGGUUAGAAUACGCACUAGAAUAAAAAUGUACAUACUGACCGGUGGGUGGUGUGAGCAUUAGUGUCGGUUCUUGCGUGGGUGCUCAUAAUAAAACCCGCAUUAAUAGUUCUUAGAUUUAAAGGGGCCAAUCGUGGCUUACUUGUAUGGGGAUGCAGAUGCCUUGCCUCGUCCCUAUGCAAAUAUGACUUGCAAUGGAUCUUAAACAUGGCAUGUACUUCGAAUCGUAUGCUAACUCCGGAAUGACAAUUAGUUUGCGAGUAGGUAAGAAAUCAUACCGAUUAUUCCACAUAUUGAUAUGUUGAUAGUGGAAUAUCGGCCAAUUCUCAUACGUCUGAUCCCGUAAGUCGAUUGUCAAAAUCUGAAUCGCCGCAACACUCUAUCAGUCUCGUGCAUCUUGACGAUAGCAUACACUACCAAUGAGACCUUCACGUGCUAAAUGUUCGGAUUCACAAAGAAUUAUUCGGGGAUGACUUCUUGAAUUGUCGGAUCCUCGUAUGGUGUCCAUUCAAACUAUAUUAACAUGGUAAAAAUAUUAGUUAUAUAUAUACUACUAAAUAUGAAAUCGAUUACAUUAAUAUUAUAUAGUUCAAAUUUAAAUAAAUAGAUACCUCCUCUUCCGAUCGUUAGUCUAAUUAAAGCCAUAUAUCUUAAAGCUUAAUAGGUAAUCCCACAUGACUCGACCUAUGGUUCCACCUAUUUAAAUAACUUGUUAGCAUAAUAAUCUAAAAUUAAAUCAAAUUUAUUAUGGUAAUAUCUAAUGAAUUUUACCUUGUUACAAGUGAGAAUUUAUAUGGGUAGUUUGCUCGAGGACGUAAAAAUGGCAAUCGGUACCGCACCCAUGAUUGCAGUAGUAGAAUGCAACCACCAAUUUUGAUUUUUCAUAGUUGCGUCGGCCAACACAUCUCUGUAUACAAUGUCACUAACACAGCGAACCCUUAACUAAGUUUACCCACUCCUCUAAAGUCAACGAGUUUCAGUAGCCACCUUAGAUGGACGAGUGUAUGUGACUUGUCCUGCAUUAGGAUACCCCCGAUAAUCUGAAGGAUAUACGCCCGAGCGUGUCGCGUUCUCUUUUGAUUUCAAUCGAAUUCUCAUCCAGCCGUACAAAAUUUUUUGUAACCAACUCAUUUCGAGCCGAUCUCCGUAAAUCAUUUUCAGAACCGAACACAAAAGUUCACCACAUACACCUUCCCAAUCAACAAAGUGAACAGACCCAGUGACUACCAACUCAUCCAUCGGUAACCCCAACUGUAAAUCCACGCCAUCUAGAGUGAUAGUACACUUGCCAUAUGGAAUAUGAAAUGUGUGUCUCGGGUCUCUACCUCUCCACCAAUGCGCUUACGAGUUUCAGGUCCAACUUACACUCCUGGCCUACAAGGGCCAUGUGCCAAAAACUGACAUCCCUCAAGUACAGUUCGAUCAACGGUGGAGGAGGAGCGGGUAGAUUACGAAUAUGGAAUUGUAAAAUUUGAUAUUCCGCCUAUUUACGUAAAAAAAAUAUAAAAUAUCAAGUUAAAAUAUAACAAUAAAAUAAAAAAUUAAAUAAAAUUAAAUUUUAUUAAAAAAAUAUUCUUACCAUUUGCAAUUGACUAACAGAAAUGUGUUUGUCAUCAUGACGGAUUAGAGAAUCGGCCAUUGCUAAUUAUAGAAAGCGAAUUAAUUUUUAAUAAAAAAAUAUUAAUAAAAAUUCUAAUAAAAAUAUUUUUAAGAGAUAAAUUUUGAUGUUUUCUUUAAGCAUUACAUAAAAGAAUUCAUCACUAAGUGAUAAAUUUGUUGCAGUCCUCCUAUUCUCACUAGACUUAGCCAAUGAGUUUGCAAACUUAUAGCCUCCCUAAACGUAUGGCAGAAGCUCACUUUAACAAUUUUGCUGGCCAGAUUAUCCACGUCAUUGAAAAUAUUUAAACCUCCACGAACUUUGAGACGAGUUUGAACACCAUGAAAGAAUAGGGGUAAUAAGAUUCCAUAGUCAACUUCAUCUCGUCUUUCCAUUGAGAAUUAAGACAGAAUUGCAAGGCAAUAUUGAUGGCACAAAGUUCGACUUGUUCAAUAUUUUGAUUAUGGAAUACAUGUUAAUUUUUAAAAAAACUGAAAAUUUUGGGUAAGAAUAAGUUUCUAAUAUCGUAGAGCUGAGCUCUAUAGGUUUAGUUGAGAAUGUAAAAAUCAACACUCUUUCAAUUCUAAGACACACUGUAUAUAAUUUUGAUACAAAGGUUGAUCUUUUGAUUUUAAAGAAAAAAAUUUAAUUCAUAAUUAUGUUGUAAAAAAUGAAAACUAUAUAUUGCUGGAAGCAAAAUGGAACUAAGCAAUUGUUAUAAUAUUUUUUUUAUAAAUUUGAUAAUGUCAUUUUAGCAAUGGACUAGGCUUGAAGAUAAUUUUUAGAGGAAGGUGGAUUUGAAUUUACGAGUUGUGUGUUCUUUCAAGAAAAAUAUUAGCUUUGGGGCAUCGAAACUUGUGCUUCGGAACAAGUUUAGAUGCUUAAGUUAGCAGAGGAGAAGUUGGAUAAGGAAACAAAAAAGUUUAGGCUAGUGGUAAAGCUGGUAGUGUAGAUAGAUGGGAAUGAGUUGUAGGUGGGUAUUUAUACUUGGUUUUUGGGCUACUCAACAGGUUUUCUAAAGAUUAUUCAUUAGCCAGUCAUCUAACCAUGUUGGCGUGGUAGUCUACCUUGUGACUAAUUUCUGGUCUUGCAACCUUGAUUACCAAGGGUUCUUUUUUUCUAAGGGUGAUGAUCCUAGGCAACUGUUUGUUAUCUCAACUCUCAAGUGGCUCGCUCUUUGGCCACUAAUAGGACAAGCUAGGUGCUUGGGGCCUUUUAGGCCUAAGUUUUCUUCAAGUUGUAGCAUGCUUUAGAAAUAGGUUAUGACCAUGUUCAUAAGUUGGUAUAGCAAUUAUCUCCCCCUUAAGUAGGAGGCUGGUUAUAAAGUGGCCAAGCGAGGACCUGGUUGACAUCAUCAGUUAAGUUUUAGCUAACCAGCUUCUUAUGGCAUAUAUGGAUGACAUAAUUCUAAGCGGUGACUCAACUGAGAUUGGUGAUGUGGUUCAAUAACUUCAUACCCAGUUUUCUUUGAAAGAUCUAGGUGAACUCAACUAUUUCUUUGGUGUGGAGGUUCACAAGACAACAACAGGUCUUUUUCUCAAUCAGAAGAAGUAUGUCCUAGAUCUUCUUAACAGGACACAUGCUCGACGCAUCUUCUACACCUACUCCUAUAGUUGGGUCUCCAAAGUUGACAGCUUUUGCAGUCAUGCCCUUUGAAGAUGGUUAGAUGUACAUAAGUGUCAUAGUGCUCUUCAGGUUGUCUUACUCGACCAGACUUGGCUUACCCAGUCAACAAGCUGAGUCAAUAUAUGAACUCUCCCCUUGACACUUACUGGAAGGCUGUGAAGAGAGUUCUUAGAUACCUCAAGGGUACCUUAGAGUAUGGAUGGUACUAUACAAAGGGUGAAUGUGCACUUGCAUGCUAUACUGAUGCUGACUAGGCAUCUAUUGUUGAAGACUAGCGCUCUACUUCAGGUUAUUGUGUGUACCUAGGAAACAAUCCUAUUGUUUGGAGCUCGAAAAAUCAGUGUAGUCUCAAUGUCCUCUUCAGAAGCUGAAUGUCGCAGCUUAGCCAAUUCAGUCUCUGAGGUGAUAUGGGUUCAACAAUUGCUUUCAGAAAUGGGUGUUGUAAUGACAAGGAUAUCUACUGUUUGGUGUGAUAACACCUCAACAGUAUCAAUGGCUGCCAAUCUCACUCACCAUGGUCGGAUUAAGCAUGUAGAAAUUGACUUACAUCUUGUUAGGGGGAAGGUGCUUGAUGGGAAGCUGCAGGUGAAUUUUAUUCCCUCAGAGGAGCAAACUGUUAAUGUAUUAACUAAGCCUAUUACAGCAGCUACAUUCUCUAGCCUCAGACAUAAACUUAGAGUACUUCCUUGGACGGUAGUGGUUGAUUGUCAACAAGAUACAUAAAACCAGGAGAAUGUUAGACUAUGAGCUAUUGAGUCUGUUGAGUUGGUUAGUUGUUCCAACAGCUGAACUGUUAUCAGUUAGUGCAGCUGGUCAGUUAAAAGUUAGUUACUAGUAGUUAUGUUAGUUCAUGUCUGUUUCUCGUUAAUAUGAUUCUCUUUAUUUUCCUCUACUUUCUCAGCAUCCAAACAGUUUUCUUGUUUCAUUUCUAAGCUUGUUUUAACAGUUGCUAACAUCAGAAAUGUUAGAUCAGUUAGAUAGCUUUGAUUCCAGUUAAGAAAGAAAAGAUGCCAGCCAGAUUAGACUUGUUUAAUAUUCCAUGGUUAGUAAUUCAGAAAUUAAACUACCAGAUUAAAUGAUAGCAUAAGUCAAAUAUGAACUCUGAGAAAAGAAUAUUAAAUUUGCCUAGUGUUUUCGAAGAGCUAUCGCUGCAUAUUGAUAUAUACCCAUGCAUAUUUAUUAGUGUCGGUGGUGGUUCUCAUCUUUGUGUGUCUAUCUCACGUCAUACAUACGACUGUAAUUUAGCAAUAGCUCGCCAAAGUGAUGACCAAACUCCAAUGAGGAGAAUGUGCCUUUUUCCAUGGACAUAAUAAUGUUCCUCAACGUGGCAGCAGAAAACACCAUGCAUUUACACAUAUGUAAUGUCUUAAUGAGAUUUAAUUGUGGUAAAUUUCUCUAGAAGGUGAAUUAUAGGUUGAUCAUCUUAAUUUUUAUAAUUAAGACUCUUUACCCUGUUUCCCGAAGUUACAUCUCAAUUAUCUUUACUUUACAUUAAAAAUUAACAAAAGUUUAAGUGCUGGUUCAAUAAACUAAGGCCUAGUGGAUGACUUUCAACCUAACUGCCCCCCCCUCCCCCACUUGCAAUUAUCAUGGAAACUUAAUAAUAAACAAUAGAAAUUAUGUGAUUAAUAACAACAAAGUAGAAAUGAAAGUUUUAAAAUCAUAUUCUAUAACAGUGAGGUAAUAUUCAUUUUCUUUUAGUAAAACAUUUUCUUUAUUUUUUCUUAGAUUUCCUUUUACUGUAUUAAAAAAAUGAUCUAAAUUCCUUUUGUAUGACUUUUGUAGCCCUCCAGAUAUGUCUAGGAUCAUUUCCAACAUUCGUCCAAAAUCAUAAAAAUAAAAAAAAUUCCCUGAAAUCAUUUCCAACAUAUGUAGGCACAACAUAGAAAUUAAUCAGAUGAGUGUUGUUUAUCUCAUGACAUUUAAUUAUUACUGCUUUUUUUUUAUUGAAUAACUUAAGGUGUUGUUUAAUGCCCCAUGCAUAAUAAGCCAAUCAAUCAAGAUUUGAUGCUUUGAUAUACGAUCCUAUCAUUUCAUAAACUACUCAAUGACAUGGCCAAUAUUGGAUGUUCAGUAAUGGAAUCGAUCAUGUCAUUUCCUUUUUCUUUUUUGUCCUAUGCAUUGGGAACAGUUUAGUAGCACAACAUGCAUAUUGGGGUUGAUCUGCGAGGAUUUAUGAACUAGUUUUUGCCUUUGUUUGACCAAACCUUAUAUGAGAGAAAUUGAAAUUGUUUUAAACAGCUAAACGUUGACCUUCGCCAUCCCUUGCAGGAAGUUCAAUGAGAGGUUAAGUAUAUGCAUUAGUUCAUUACCCUAAAAGAUGUCAGGGAAGGUCAGAUUUUGGAAGCCCUAUGAAGUUUUUAAUGCUGUUAGGUCUCCUGUCAUACUACGAUGCUGAAAAAAGUUGAAACACUUGGAACAGCAAUUUUCAACAUCAGUGCUUUUCAAUGAACAAUUCUUGAUUAGACUUUCCUUGUAUGAUUGAAAAUGUUGGUUAAGCAUAUUGAAGUUUCUAUUUCCAGAUACAUAAACUCGUCGGAGAUCAAAUUCCCAACACAACAUAUUUCAGUCAUAUAUAAUUAAUAUCGAUACUUAUAUAUACAAUUCAAUUUCUAAUUUUGUUAAAAGCUAUUGAAUCUUAUAUACGCUUAUGUACAUCACAAACAAAAGGGAAACUGAAAGAUGAAUAUCAUAAAACUGAAGCUGAAACUUGCCACACCUUAAUAUCAUAGUCCAAACUCCCACUGCAAAUCAUAUAAGUAAUAGUUUCAGAAGCACCUUCUUCUUCUUCUUCAGUAUUUGUAUUACAUGUCAAGCAUUUAACUGGCCUUGUGUGCCCUUCCAAAACUGCCAAGCAACAAUAGCUUUUGUCGAUUCCUCUCCUCCAAAUCCUCAUUGUUUUAUCUGCUGAUCCGCUGCAUAUCAAAUCCGUCACAACCGCCAAGCACAAGAUUGCCUUGGUGUGACCUCUAAGUGCACCCAACAACACCAUCCGCCACUCACCGUCGCCUCCCUCGCUUUCUCUUUCCCAAACCAGAAUCGAUCUGUCGCAUGCACCGGAAUAAAGUACGGUCCCAUCGUUACUAAGAGCCAAAGCAUUAACAGCUGAUUUGUGUUUCUCCAGUGUUAAGACCAGGGAAUGGUUGUUUUUACUUGCAUGCUUCUUCCAUACCUUAAUCCUCUUGUCUGCUGAACCUGUAUGAACAAAUCCAUCUCUAGACAAUACUAUGGCAUUAAUGGCAUCAUCAUGCGCGUUUUGCACUGAUUCCAAACACUUGAAAUCCGAUGUCCGCCAGAUUUUGAAUGUCCGAUCCCACGAGGCAGAGUAAAGGAGAGAACAAUCUGUUGAUAUUGCCAGAGCAGAUAUUGUAUCAACGUGAUGUAUCCAUGUGCAUUUCUUGUGACGCCGGACCUGCACGUAAUUCUUUUCCGAGAAGCAUCUCAGGAAACGAUCGUUCAACGUUGGGAGAGUAGCUAAACAUUUAUACUUGUGAUGUUCGUGGUUAUGAAUUUUCCAUACACGGAUUUUGUUAUCUUGGUGGGCACUGAUAAGCUUAUCUCCUAAAACCACCAGAGACUUAACUGCACUGUUGCUAGUAGCCACCACAAUGUUAUCAGUUCGAUCACCAUGCUCGGAAGAAUCCAGCCUCCAUGCUCGUAUCUCACCGUUUGAAGAGCCAUCGUAUAGGACCUUCCCGGCAAGAGCGAGGGUGAAGACAUAGGAGUGGUUUUUAAGGGUGGCUAUGCACUUAUGAUGGAUGGCUGGGGUCUUUUCAUCAUGUCGGUGAGAUGUUGAAGCAAGGGAAGGAACCGAUGGUAAACUUGGUUGAGAGGAGAUGGAAGGGGUUGAUGAUUCCGAAUGAAGAUGAUAGGAGCCAGACUGAGAUUCGUCGUUUCUGUGGCAAGACAAGUGACAUGGAAGAAUCCCCAUAAAUCAUCAAAGCUGAACAAAACAAGGAACAGUUAAUAAGCUUAUAUGAUGAGGGUGGUUAGUAUGUCAACAUCUUCAUAGAUGCAUCACCAUGAUGGUAGGCUUAUUAUGCAAAACAUGGCAGCAGAAAGACAAAAAGAGAGCGAGCCAGCGAGGUAUAUGCUUGGGGUAGGGAGAAGUAGGCAUGAAGAUGAGUAAGUAAUAUGAGAGCAAUGCGCAAUCUUUUUGCCGUGUUAUUGAGAAAGAACCAGAUGCUUCCAUUAAAUAGUUAGAAUUCAAGUUUUGGAAUUUAAUACUCUUUUCUUUAGUUAUCGGUUGUUAGGAGCAGCUCACAUGAAUUGUCAUGCCAUUCGAGGGACCAGAAAUUAAGCUCAUUGGGUUCCACCAUUGAAGUAAUAUAUAUCAUGCAUUUAACCCAUGUUUGUAAGUGUGUGUGCUCUAACCACUGCUGAUGUACGCCCUCGUCUUCUAUUGGGAUGUGUUUUUUUAAAAGGAGAUUUCUAGAUAAGGUUUUAGGAUCUUGGAUGUUCUCAUCUUGAAGGGUCCAGUUGCACAGUCUGUUUUAAUUUAAGUGGACUGGAUUCUCACGUCCAUACACAGUUUUAUAAGUCAGGCUUCUUCUUCUUCUUCCUGGGUAUUCUGAGUAUAAGCUAGGCUUCUUAGGAUGGACAUUUAGGAGUUUUUCAUGAGCCAUUUGCAUGGAAUUUGUUCAAUUCAUAGGUUUCAUUCGCUUCAAUCAAGUAUUUAUAACCUUUUGGUUAGACUCAGCUCCAUUCUUUCGAGGUUGAGGCUGUAAAAAUUGAUAUUUUUUAAUAUUUUAUAUAUUUUUAUAGGAUAAUUGUAAACUCUGACUCUAUCCACUAACAAAUUAAUUUACUUCAAUAACAUUUUAAAUUUGGUUGAGAAAAAAAUAUUUAUAUUAAAAUGUUGGGUUAACAUAACAAAUGAGGAUAAUAAAUAAUUUCAUGUCUUCUGACAUGUGUAAAAUAAAAAAUAUUGAAAUACUAUUAAUUUUAUUAAAAUAUAAUUAAAUAUAGAUGUUAAUUUUUUUGAGUUUCUAGCUAUUUAUGUUGAAUAAUUGUAAUUAAUAUUUUUUAAAUAAAUUUAUUUAAUAUUUAGUUCUAAAUCAUUUAAUACUUUUUAUUUUACAUCAAUAAUAAUAUCUCAUCUUAUUAUUAAUUAAUGGAACUGUAAUCUAUAUUUUCCAGAUUAAUAAAUAGUGAUUUAUUUUCCUUCAAUGAACAACCACAAUAAUUAUAUUAUUUGCAACACUAUCUUUGAAUGAUGAAAACAAAUAGAGUCAAAUGAAGCAAAUGUAUAUUGUCCAAAAUCUAUACCAGACAAAAGUCAAUAGAAAAAUUAUAUAACAUUUUAAAUAAAAGUGACUAUUUUUGUAAUUUACCUUAUAGAAAUUAUAUUUACUGAAAAUAAUUAUAUUUGACUGAUUUCAUAAAUAAAAGAGUUAUUAAUUAAAAAUAAAUUAAAAUAAAAAACUUAAAAAUAAUAAAUUUUUUAAUUAAAAUUAAAAAAAUAUCUUGAAACAACAUGAAAUAAAAAUACAAAUAUUCUUAAAAGAGAAAUCAAACUUGAGACUUGAAUAUAAAAUCACUAUUUUUUAACCAUGUAACCAAAGAAAUUAAUGUGUUAAAAAUAAUAAUUAAAAAUAAAAACAAAUCUUAAAACAACAUGAUAUAAAAAAUAUAAAUAUGAUUAAGAGAGUAAUCGAACCCAGAACUCAAGUACACAUGUUUAUCUUUCCAAAAAUAUAUAUAUAUAUAUAUAUACAUCUCCCACAAAUUUACUAACAAAUUCUCACAGCACUGUUCAAAACAUCAAAGUCACCACAAUAUUCUGCUUUAGUCCACUCGGUAGACCUUUCUUAUUAAGAUUUUCUUGAGUAUUUUAAAAUUUUGAAAAUGAUUAAAAUUUUCAAUAAAAAUUUCGUAAAAUAAUUUAAAAAUAAAUAUGUAAAAUUUAUGUUAGAUAUUAUUAAUAUCAAAAGCUUCAUAAAUCAAAACUAAUCAAUUUUAAAUUCAAAAUUUUAUGAUAAAAAUAAGUAAUCAACUCAUGCCAAUCCAUUUUAAUUAUUUAAUUUCAUUAAUAUUAUAUAUAUUUUUAAAAAUAUCUAUAAAUUUAAAAUUGUAAUAUGCAAAGUAAAUCCGAGAUUAGUGAAAUUUUGGAUUCAGCAUUCCCACAAUGCUCCUUAUUCCAUCUCCUAAGGAAGCCUUAAGUGUUCCUAAACAUCCCACAACUCUUUCAAUUUAAGUGAAGAACAUAGGUCCCCAAAUCAAUAGAAUUUGGAGGGAGCAAGCUUUCAGACCAAAAAGCCAUUAACUGUAGAAACAAAACAAAAUAUAAGGGAAAUGUUUAAAUUAGUGGAGCCAAUGAAAAAGUACAUCAUUUUUAGAAGAAUGACAAAUCAAUUCUUAAAAACAAUCGAGAAAAAGACAAUAAUAUGAAAUCACGUUUUCAUGCUGACAACUAUAAUCUCACUACAUUAACCAUAAAAUAUAUCAACUCCAAUCCAUUCUUUUAUCCGCAAUAGCAAGUGGAAUCUAGACUGAAAUAAUUUAGUUCACGUGCCACGAGCUGACGUACAUCCCUGUCGUCUUCCUCGUGUUUGCUACCCAAACAAGAUCCCCAGAAGAACAAAUCUCUACUUACAUUGCUAACCAGACAACAGCAACUUUGAGUUGUUGAAGGAACCUACUAGAGUCCUACACCAGCACUGUAAAGCAGAUGGAUGGCUGUUUGGAGGCAUCCCUUUCCCCUUUGAGUAUUCCAGAAUACGUUUUGGGUUGCAGUGGCAGGCGAAUGCCGCUUUUGGGUUUCGGCACUGCUGCUUCUCCGCCCGUCGGAUCACAACUUACCAAGACCGCCAUUCUCCAAGCCAUUGAACUUGGUUACCGGCACUUUGAUACAGCAAGUUUAUACGGGACAGAGCAACCACUGGGUGAAGCAAUUCUAGAAGCAAUUGCAGUUGGGUUAAUUAAAUCUAGAGAUGAACUCUUCAUCACUUCCAAGCUCUGGUGCAGUGAUGCCCAUGGGGAACUUGUCCUUCCUGCCCUUCAUAGGAGCUUAAAGUAAAACACUACCACUCUACCACCUUAUAUUUCCUCUUUAAUUACCGCCUUUGGUAAUUGUAUAAAUUGUUUGUCCUGUAGAAAUCUGAGGUUGGAGUAUCUUGAUCUCUAUCUCAUUCACUGGCCAGUAAGUUCAAAGCCAGGGAUUUAUGAGUUUCCAAUAAAGCGGGAAGAUUUCCUGGCGAUGGAUUUCAAGGCAGUAUGGAAAGCUAUGGAAGAUUGUCAAAGGCUUGGUCUUACAAAGUCUAUUGGAGUUAGCAAUUUUUCCUGUAAAAAGUUGGGUGACAUCCUUGCCUUUGCUAAAAUCCCUCCAGCUGUUAACCAGGUAAGAACUCUCCCUUUCUCAAGCCCACUCCAAGCUGCUUUCGACUUUGAAUAGCAAUGAGGAAGUUGUUCUUAAUGUUUUGCAAGGUGGAAUUGAACCCACUGUGGCAACAAAAGAAGCUAAGAGAGUUUUGCAAGGCUAAUGGUAUCCUGUUGACUGCUUAUGCUCCACUGGGAGCCCAAGGUACCAUUUGGGGCAGCAAUAGAGUUUUGGAGUGCGAAUUGCUCAAGGAAAUCGCUAAGCAAAAAGGGAAGACAGUUGCUCAGGUGCAUUUUGCUCUUUUUGUUUCCUCCAUUCUUUUAUGAAAACAACUUAGGACUUGAGAUUAUUUGGGAUUGAUUUUGUGUUAUUCGAGAAAGAAGUUCAAUUCUGCUGCUGCUAACAGACUUGGUAUAGAAAAUAAAAAAUGCUGAUUAGUGCAUCCAAAAACAGAUUUGUUUGAGAUGGGCCUACGAACAAGGGAUCGGCAUAUUGGUGAAGAGCUUCAACAAGGACAGGAUGAAAAGCAACCUUGAGAUAUUCAACUGGUCAUUGAGUCAAGAGGAUGUGAAAAAGAUCAAUGAUAUCCCGCAAAGCAGGCUUUGUAGUGGACAAGAUUAUAUCUCCAAAUAUGGGCCUUUCAACACUACACAGGAACUUUGGGAUGGAGAAAUUUGAUUUAAGCAUCUAUGUGGAUGCUUGCUAAAUUUGAUUUUGGUAUGAUAUAUGUUAAAGAUCCUAAGCUAGCUAAUUAUAUAAAUUAAAUACUCUUUGAAUUCUAAAUCAACUGAAUUCAAUUAUAAAGAAAGUGAGAAAACUAAAUAAUUUACAUAUUUAUCUAUUUAAUUUUAAAAAAGGAAAAUUAUUUAAUAUAUUGUACUAAAUACUUACCCUUAUAAAAUUAUAUUCUACUUUGGAUUCACUUGGUAAUUUGGGAGGUUCGACAAGCUCACCUUAAUUUUAGGUGGAAACGUUGCAGACAACUCCUGAAUCAUAAUAUAUUUAAACUCUUCAAAUAACAAUCAAACAUUUUAAGAUAUCACACUUUCUCAAGGAUACUCUUUUCAAUGAUGUUCUAAUUGCUACCAUUAUUAACUACCAAGUUGCAAAUGUUACCUGUAAAGGUGUAUCUAGUUUGGAAAUGUUGUUGGCCUUGGGUUAUAUCUCCAUCCUUAGUGUCAACAUUAUCUUCCCUAUAGCCAAAAUUUGUCCAUCUCCUAAAUCUGCUCCAUCGAGUUUCCAUAUGAUCUCGUUUCCUUCCUCAAGUUCAUCUUCGUAGUCACCACACUCUAUAAUUUUGAUAUCCUUUCUUCUUGGACAAUCAUUAGAGCGAUGUCCGCGUAGAUUACACAAGUAGCAUUUUCCAGGAAUAGACUUAAGUGUAUGGGUUCUUUCCAUGUCUAUGACUGCAUUUAUGUCUUGAUCCCCUUUGCUAACUUCUUUCUCACUACUUUGUCAUAAUUAGAUUUUUGGAUUAAAUUUUCAAGUAUUUAGUUUAUUAUUAUUCUCCAAAUUUGCUAGUGCAGAUUGAUAGCAAUUCAUCUUAGUCCAAUUCGCUUUCUUCUCUUGUAUUAUCAUCUUCACUUUUAACUUCAUAUUUUGUGCUACAGCGAUAUUUGCCAACAUUUGCACAUCAAUUUUGUCUUAGAUUGCAAGUCUUAAUCCUUUAAGGUAUCUGGCUACUUAUUGGCUGUUGGGCUCCAUUAGAUUAUUACAUUUGGUAAGCCUCAUGAACUGAAAAGUGAUAAAAGUAACAUAUUUUAAUCUCGUUCUUAAUGCGUUUUUAGAUGAUUAUUUAUUCAAAUUGAUGAAUUUUAUGCUCCUAAUCCUUUGAAUUCAUGUUUCUAUACUUAGGUGAGCAUUUGGGAGCAAAAGGAGCGAAAAUCAGACAAAAAGAGCAGAUUUCAGGAGCCACACAGGUUAGGCCUUCCCACACGGGCUAGACACAUGGCCAUGUGUCAAACUGUGUCGAUUUCGCAACUCGCUUCCCAAACACGUAGCCAUCAGAGAAGAAGAGAAUAAGGGGCCAUCAAAGAAUAUUGAAGAAAACAACUCGAAGAACAACAUUGGAGCCAUCAGACCUCAUUUUAAUUUCUUUUGAAGUUUUUAUGAGUUUCUUUAUUUCUUGUGGUUAUUCUGACUUUGAGAUGUUUUUAUUCACGAUUAUGAACUAAUUCCUUAGAUACCUAGAGAAGAUGAACCCUAUGAUGGAUUCUAUUACUUGAUUUCUGUUUUACGCUAUAAAUACUUAAUUCUUGUUCUCAGUUAUGUGUGAUUAUUUCUUGUUUUAAUAUUUUCAGGAUAUUAAUUCAUGUUUAAUGUGCUUAAAUCAAAGGAGGAAAAAUCCUUAUUUAAGAGUAGAUCUAGCAUAAUUGAGUGGAGUUGCAUGCAAUCCUAGAAAUAGGACGACAUAAAUCUACCAGAUUAGAGUCAAAUCUAAUAAAGGGAUUCAUAGAUCGAGUUAAUGCGACAAUAGGGGUUUUAAUUAGAAAGAGAUUUCAAUUAAUCAACCUAGAGUCAGUUGCUCUUACUUUCAAAAGAGAUAUUAGCAUAAUUUAAGGAUUUCUACGGAUUAAGAUACCAAGUGAAUAAAUUGUUUAAUUCAGAUUCAUAAUAAUAGAUGAAGUCUAGGUGGAUUCAUUCUUGGGUAUUGUUUCUCUCAUUGGUUAUUAUUCGAUUACUUUCCUGAUUUAUUCUCUAUUGAGUUCUUAGUUAAACUAAUUUAGUAAUUUUAGUUCAAAACCAAUCACUCCAAUUUGUCAACUAAAUAAUAGGAAAAUGGUAAUUACUAAUACUUUUAGUCCUUGUGGAUACGAUAUCUCUACUCACCAUAGCUAUACUAUUUAUCGAUAGGUGCACUUGCCUUUGUCGUAUUUUUAGUUAGUUUCGUGACACAUCAUGAACUAUGUGGUGUAGCCAUGUAUUGAUCUGACUCCUUGGGUACAUCAUUGAUAUUGCUUAUAAUCUAGGGGGAAUCAAACAUUGAGCAAUUGAUUCAUUAUGGUUAUUUUACCCAAAUGACCAAAAAAAUUAAUUAAUUAUAAAAAUGACUCAGGUUCAAAAACAAUCAUCCAAAUGACCUAAAAUGAACAAAAAAUUUGGGUUGGAGGACUUAAGUGGUCGGCACCACCAAAUGAUUGUGUCAAGGGUUAAAAAAAAUUUUGGGGUGCUAGACACUAGAUGGCCAACAAAAAAAAAAUUGGGUUAGGGGACUUAAGUGGCCGACACCACUUUUUCACAUAAAAAAUAUUUUUUUUGGGUGCUGGGACACUGAUGAUCGGCACUCUUGUACCAAAUUUAAAAAAUAGUUUUUUUUUGUGUUGAUACAUUGAUGGCCAACAUCCCAGUACCAAAUUUAAAAUAAAUUUCGGGUGCUGGGACACUGAUGGUUGGCACUCUUGUACCAAAUUAAAAAAAAUAGAAUGUUGGGACACUGAUGGCCGGCACCCCUUCAAUAUAUAUAGUUGUUUUGUCUUCCAUUUGAGCUUUUUGUUUAAUUUAUCAAUUGAAAAUCUAUAUUAAAAAUAUCAGUGUUUUGUUUGUUAAGGUGGAAACAGAAAUUUGUUGAAGAUGAAUUCCUAAAUUCUGUUUGUUUAUGUUCAUUUCGAUGGAGAAAUGAUUAAUAUAGAUGAAGAAGGUUGUAUCUUUCAAAGUCAGCAAAAAAUCAGAAUGAGAUUAAAUAAGCGUGUUUUGCUGAAUUUGAAACAGAAUAUCAGUACAAAGAUAGCUACUCGUUGCGGGAAGCAAAUGUUGAGACUAUUUUAAAAAUUUCUGAUUUCAACAAAUCCGCUCAAGUUCUCAAAAAUAGAGCUUGAAGAAGAUGAUGAUCUAGGGACAAUGAUAGAAAUUUAUUGCUCCCGAAAAUGGAUAAUCCCAACUCGGUUAAGUUGUUUGCGAAGAUAGCUAAACUGAAACUUGUUCAAGUUGUAAUUCCAGAAAUUUAACGUUCUAGAAUUGAUUUUGAUCUUAAUUCUGUUCAGAAGAUCAAUUGGGUUGUAGAGGGUCACUACAAACUCCCGGAAAUCCAAACUACGGUAGAUGUUCGUAAUAUAUCCCAAUCUCGUGUCCUUAUCUAGAGAUUCAUCCAGAGGUGUUGGCUACCAUAGAAUAUGGUGAUGAAGGGUCCGAUAAUGAAGAGUAUUCCCACCAUGAUAGUGAAGAUUUGAGUUACCCUAAUUUGGAUGACAUCCUUGAAGAAAUAGACGAUGAAGGCCCGGUACAUGGUGAAGAUGUACACCCCCAUUCGGUCGGAACACGAGAUCUGGUAUAAUAAUCCAGGGGCUUUCAUGACUAAUGUAGAUCGUGUUGUGUCGCUUGCACGCAAGUUCUUUGAAUAUCCAAAUAUAGUGUCAGCUCACCUAUUGGAUGAAGAAUCAGAAAUUGAAGAGUUGUUCGUAGGACAAAAAUUCGAUAAUAAGAAAGACUACUUACAUGCAAUAAAGCAAUACAGCUUGAAGCAUUCUAUUGACUACAAAGUCAUAAAGUCAACGCAGUUUUUAUAUGUCGGAGAAUGUUGGAAAGCUUCAAGUAGUUGUAACUAGCAUGUUCGAGCUGCAAUAAUCUAAUAGACUCAGUCACACAUUCACGGUUGCUCGUAUGUCGCAAGACCAUCGAAAAUUAGAUGCAAAAACCAUAUGUAACUGUAUCAUCCUAUUGGUGAAAGAUAGUCACACAUUUCCUAUAUCGACUCUUAUUACAGACAUGCAAGCUCAGUUCAAAUACAGAGUUUCCUAUAAGAAGUCAUGGUGGGUGAAGCAAGUGGCGACGAAGCAGUUGUAUGGUGAUUGGGAUACGUCAUACAAUGAACUUGAAGGGUAGAUAUUUGCGAUGCGGGAGUAUGUGCUGAAAACGGUGACUAAUUUGCAAACACUGUCACAUAGAGGCCUAGAAAGCAUGAUAGAAUCAAGGAAACAAGUUUCCAACGAUUGUUUUGGACAUUCGAGCCGUAUGUUAAAGUGUUCCCUCACUGUAAGCUGUUAGUGUAAAUAGACAGAACCUCGCCCUACGGCAAAUACACGCCAAUACUCCUAAUUAUGGUUGAACAAGACGGCAACCAGAAUGUACUUCCUAUCGCUUUUGCCAUCGUAGAGAGUAAGAACUUCGAGUCUUGGAAAUUUUUCCUGUUAAAUAUGUAAGGCUCGUUGUCAGGUAAGAUCACAUUUUCCUUAUCUCGGCUAGAUUGAAUAGGCUACUUACUGCGGUAAGGCGUUCAGAGGUUCUGUAGAGGUCCGUUUAUUGCAUCUGACACAUCGCGUCAAACUUCCACAGAGAUCAUAAGAAUAAAGAAUGGUGUAGAGAAAUCGUGAACAUGGGUAAAAAAUAUUGUUCCAAAAUUGAUUUGUUCAUAUUUUAUUUUUAUGAUAUGUUUGUAUUUUUUUCAAGAUUUAUCAGUUUUUAGUUUUAAUUUUUUUUUCUAAAUUUAUAUUGUUUCAAAAUUACAUACAUAGGGUAUGAGUUAGAAUCGCAAAGAUUAAGGCAAAAGUUCGUGAGACUUGAAGCUCAGAUGAUAUCGCUACCCAAAAAUUGUCAUCUCCGGUAGUAGUUGAGUAGAAUGGAGAACUGGAAGUGGAGUCAGUAUGGUCAGAUGACGACCAGCCUCAUAGAAGCGGAUAACUCGGUCCUGAGGCGUACACAACAUCUGCCAAUUUCUGAUGUUUUCUCAGCAGCAUUCUAUAGACUGGCCACAUUGAUGCCAAGGAUGGGGCUGAGACAAGUAAAACAGAUAGAGACCGAGCACGUGUAUGUUGAGACCGUCCAAAAUACCAUGACACACCCAAACACUCUCAUUUGAUGGUAAUCUCAAUAAUUUUUUUCCCAUCAAAUUACAAUACCACAACCCAAAGAAAUUCUGGUACCGGGCAUCAGUGUCACAGCACCAAAAAAAUAUUUUUUUUAAAUCUGGUAUUGGGCUACCAGCCAUCAGUGUCUCAGCGCCCAAAUUUUAUUUUCGGUUCCCGAAAAAGUGGGUGCUGGCCAUCUACUUCCCCUACCCAAAUUUUUUUAAAAUUUGAUAAAGUGGGUGUCAGCCAUCAAUGUGCUAGUGUCAUAGGGCUAGACCUUUCGUCUAGUAAUCCGUGCGGCCUUAGGCGAUCUGUUCGUCCAAACUCACCUCCGUUCGCCCAAACUCGCCUAAGUCAGCCUUUACUCAAGUGAGGAUUCCUUAAGAACUCCUCCAAGGCACCAAAUUGAAGAGCAAAAUCCGGUUUAUACCAAAAGAAGAACAACAGAAAGAGCACACGCAAAGUGUUAGAGUAAAUGCUCUCAAUUUUCUUAUUCACAAAGAAUAAUGAAACAAUGAAUGGAGUGAGUACAAAUGAGGGUGAUGCUCUCUAUUUAUAGUUAAGCUCCCCUAAAACCGACGGUCAAGAUACAUUUACAUCAACGGAUGAGGUUAACCAUAUCCCUUUAUUUUAGUGAUUUACAAGAUAUGACAUAUUAAAUCUAAUCUAAUCUUUACAAGAUAUGAUUCCCUCAAUCUUCUAAGAUUAGUUACCAAAUUAACCCAAGUUGUCAUAUAUUCAUUAUCGGGCCAACCAAGCUUCAAUCUGACAAGCUUCUCCAAUAGCUAUUUGAAUCGGGCCAGUUCUCGUGGGCUAAAUGAUCUCCAUCUAAACGAUAGCCUCCACUGGAUACAUUUGGCACGAUGGUCACGGGCUUUAAACUGCGACCCGUGACAUUCUCCCACACCCAUUCUCGCAACGUCCUCGUUGUGACUUUCAAAUGGUACUGACUUGACUCGUCUUGGUCUCGUCUCGACCCUUAGCUUUUCCCUUUAUUCGGGACUUUUACUGUGGCUUACGCUGCUUCUUAACUCGAACCGUCCUACUCGUUUGUACAUCUCGACGACAAGAAGUUAUGUCACUCUCUUGCCCACAUUCUAACUUGACUCGAACAGAAUCCUCUUGAUUCACAACACUUGGCUUCGCUUUGCCCACAGUCUCUCGAAAGGGCCUCUACGUUCUUGCCAAGUCAACAAGUUAGAAUGCAACACACUAUCAAAGUGUUCGGAAUGUACCUUUACAUUUACUCUGGUCAACUAUCCCACAUGCACCACUUCUUUUUCCUUGAAGUCUGAUGCACCACCUACCUCUCCCAUAGGUGGAAGCCUUGUCGAUGACUCAGCCAACUCCGACGCUUCCCUUGGUCCCAGCUUCAUUAUUUUCAUCGCAACUUUUCCCUCAAAGUUCGAUGACAAACUCACAUCUUCCUUGGGUAGAAGCCCUUCCAAUGACUCACCAAGCUCAGACGUUGCCUUUCCUUUACCUCCGGCUUGCUUUGGACAGUUCUGCAACUCAUACGGACCAGGACAAGAAGUACUUUACUCUUUUAUUUUUACUCAUCUUUGCCCUCUCGGUUUUGCCUUUUCCCUUGCUCAAGGCAAGUUUCUUGGGCUCCUUGUCUGCUUCAUCAUUCCCUUCGAUAAUAGGCUUUUUCAGACACUUCCGUAACCUAUGCAGAUCAUGACACAAGAAGCACUCCACUAGCUUCUUCUCAUUUUUGGCCUCCUUGGCUUCGACACCAUUUGCGCUCGAACUAAGUACCAAUGCCUUAGCCACCGACUUCUCUUUAAGUGCAAAUUUCUUCAGAAAUUUCUUCAACAUGUGUGGACCGAUGCAGAGAAAGCAUUUCAGCUUGUCUCUUUUCCUCUUGGGUUUCUUCUUCCCAACUCGUGGUUUUCCAUUACCACUAUUGUCGUUGUUGCCAUUGUCAUCAACAACAUUUUCCUUGUGAUUCAUUUCACAUAAGCCCCUUUCCUCGGACUUGAAAUACUCAAGCUUGUCUUUCCCUAGACCAAGCUUAACCAUGGACUCAACUACCGUCAUGGCUUCUGACAGCUUUUGGACACCACUUUGUUCCACCUCCUGUCUGACCCACAACUUCAAUCUAUUCUGAAAAGCAAACAAUGCUUCUUUCUCGAUCACAUCUGAAACUUGGAGCAUGAGUUCCUUGAACUCUCGAACAUACUCCUCCACUGUGCCCCGUUGCGUUAUCCCUUGCAACUUUGCCCGAACUUUUUCCUCGAUAAAUUCUGGGUAAAACUGUACCUUCAACUCGCAUUGGAACUCUUGCCACGUCCCAAUCUCACCUUGCAUUUUAUCUAUGGUCAUACCCCGCCAUCAUAAAAGCGUAAUAUCAGUAAGAAACAUUGAAGCAGUGUUUACCUUAAUCGCAUCAUCCAUGAUGCCUUUGGCAGGGAAGUAAUUUUUCAUCCUCCACAAGAAAUUGUCCACAUCGCAUGCAGACGUUGUCCUCACAAACUCUUUCGGCUUCGGGACAUCCUCGUUACUGAGUGCUGCACUUAACACACCUUUUUCCAGAGAUGCUCGGCAUAAGGCUAGCUUUCCCUCGAGCUCAUCUAUUCUUGUGCUCAAAGCCAUCGUCGUGGCUAUUGUUUCCUCCUUCAAAGCCUUUACCAUGGCUUCGAGAGCAUCGUUCCUCUCUGUCAACUUCCUUCUUUGGGAAUCUAGCAACUCUUGCACGCUAUCCCUUUGAGAAGUGAGACACAUGGUCACAAAGUCCCUGGACUGUUUCCUCAAGUCUUCAAUGUUUUCCCCAAGUGCAUUGUCCAACUCUUUUGCGUCAUCCAUGGACUCCUCAAGUUUACCCACGCGUUCCUCAACAGUUGGCAACAUCUCCCUCAAAGACUUUCUCGCCCACCUUUGUUCAAACUCUUCUUUCGACAUCCCAAUAGUACCUUCGAACCAAUAACUCGAAUAUCAACUUGGUUCAAACCAACAGCUCAGAUACCACUUGGUUCAAACCUACAGCUCUGAUACUACUUUUCACAGGGAUAGACCUUUCGUCUCGUGAUCCGUGCGGCCUUAGGUGAUCCGUUCGUCCAAACUCGCCUAAGUCAGCCUUUACUCAAGUGAGGAUUCCUUAAGAACUCCUCCAAUGCACCAAAUUGAAGAGCGAAAACGGUUUAUACCAAAAGAAGAACAAUAGAAAAAGCACACGCAAAGUGUUUGAGUAACUGCUCUCAAUUUUCUUAUUCACAAAGAAUAAUGAAACAAUGAAUGGAGAGAAUACAAAUGAGGGGGAGGCUCUCUAUUUAUAGUUGAGCUCCCCAAAACCAACGAUCAAGAUACAUUUACAUCGACGGAUGAGAUUAACCAUAUCCCUUUAUUUUAGGAAUUUACAAGAUAUGCCAUAUCAAAUCUAAUCUAAUCUUUACAAGAUAUCAUUCUCUCAAUCUUCUAAGAUUAGUUACCAAAUUAGCCUAAGUUGUCAUGUCUUCAUUAUCGGGUCAACCAGGCUUCAAUCUGACAAGCUUCUCCAACAGCUCUUUGAAUCGGACUAGUUCUCUUGGGCUAAAUGAUCUUCAUCUAAACAAUAGACCUCCAUUGGAUGCAUUUGGCACGAUGGUCACGGGCCUUGAACUGCGGCCUGUGACACUAGCACCCAAAAAAAUUAUUCUUUUAUGUGAAAAAGUGGUGUCGGCCACUUAAGUCCCCUAACCCAAUUUUUUAAAAAAUAUUGGUAUAAAUGUAUACCAGUAUGCUACGGUUUGAAAAAAAAUACAUGGGUGUCGGCCAUCUAGUGUCCAGCAUCCUAAAAAAUAAUUUUUUAACCCUUGACACAAUUAUUGUCAGAAUUUUUUGUGGUGUCGGCCAUUUAAGUCCCUAACCCAAUUUUGCUGUUCAUUUUAAGUCAUUUGGGUGAUUGUUUUUGAAUCUGGGUCAUUUUUAUAAUUGUUUAUUUUUUUGAGUCAUUUGGGUAAAAUAAACCUUCAUUAUGUACCACGUCCAUACUCGAUUCUUUCCCUCACGGCAUCUUGUGUAAAAUUGCAAAACUUGAUCUAAACCAACUAAACCAACCAAAUCGACCCAAUUUAGUUUUUUCAGUUUGGUUUGAGUGAUUUCAGUUGAAGGUCAGCUUGAAUUCACAAUUAAGUCGGUAUACUUGGUUUAGCUUCGUUUUUGAAUUUCAAAACCAUUUAAAUAAAAUUAACCAACUUUAUGUAUUUAAUAAAUAUAUAUUUAAAUCCAAACCCAAUAUUAUUAUCACCAAAAUUAAAUAAAAAUAAAUAAAGCCUAGUUUUCCACCCAAAUUAAAUAUUAAUAUUGUAAUGGCCCAAAUUUGAGGUUAUCGGAACAGUGGUUUCGGGACCACAAAUCCGAUGAGAAAAAUUUUAUUUUUCUUAUAUUUUUAUGGUCUACAAUUUCACAAAAUGAUUUUUUGAAAAUUUCGUUCGAAAAUUUCGACGUUUGGGCACUCAAUUUAGUCAAAAGGACUAAAUUGCAAAAGUUGAGUUCUACAUGUUAGAGGUGUCCAAUUGUUAUGAAACUUUAAAUUGGAGGUCCUUAUAUGGUAAUUAUACCAUUGGUAACUUGGUAGACAAAAAUGGACAUGAGAUAAGUGAAAUAGAAAAUUUUUAAGUUAGGGGCAAUUUGGUAAUCUAGUAAUUAAAAUGAAUUAAAAGGGAAAAAGAUGGCAAAAAUCAUCAUCUUCUUCAUAUGAACGAAAUCAGCAAGGGGGAAGCCAUAGUUAGGGUUUUCAAGCUUCCAAGCUCCAUAGUAAGUGAUCCCAAGCCCCGUUUUUAAUGUUCUUUACGUUUUUGAGAUCCCGGUAGCUUAAUUUAGCUUAUUUUAGCAAUAAUUUAACCUAGGGUUUAUAUUUGGAAAAAUACCCAUAGGUGAAAAGUGUUUAUUUUGAUGUUUUAUGAUAGAAUAUGAAGCUAGAAAUUAUGUUAAACAACUUUUGCUAAGCGAUUUUAAGUGAAAACGAGUAAAACGACAUAAUCGGUAAAAAUACCUAAUGUUCAUAAGUAAAUGUUAGAGUGGGAAUUUUAUGUUGCCAUAGAAGGGGAAAAUGUUCAGAAUGUUAUAAAACAUAAGAAUAAGAGAUGAAGUUUAAUUUCCGAGCCUUGGGGCAAAAAUGUAAUUAUGUAGAAGUUUAGGGGCAAAAUUGUAAUUUUGAAAAAGUUAGAGUCGAGGGCUGUUUUGAUGAAUGUGAUUAUUAAAUAAGUUAAAUUUACUAUUUUAGAUCAAGAAGUACGAAACUCGAGGUUAGACAAAGGGAAGAAUAAAGUUGAAGACUAAGUUGGUGAAUUUGGCUAUAAUUGGUACCGAGGUAAGUUUACGGUAAAUAAAUGCAAUAUUUUAAUAUUUAUUAUUAAUGCUGUUAAUUUCCAGCAAUUAUGAAUUUAUUUUAUGAAUUUAUUUGAUGAUGAUCCGAGCAUGAAAUGAUAGAGAAUUAAAAUUUAAAAGUCCCGUUGAUACAUAAGGAUGGUACUGGAUACGAAUGUCAUGACAUUUGGGUAAAGAGAUCCCAUGUAAGACCAUGUCUGGGACAUGGCAUUGGCAUCCUUAAGAUCAUGAGAGGUCCCCUGUAAGACCAUGUCUGGGACAUGGCAUGGGCACCGAGACGAGAGGUCCCAUGUAAGACCAUGUCUGGGACAUGGCGUUGGCACCGAGAUGAGAGAUCCCCUAUAAGACCAUGUCUGGGACAUGGCAUGGGCACCAUCACGAGAACAUCCCAUGUAAGACCAUGUCUGGGACAUGGCUUUGGCAUGUUAUUAUCAGAAGAGACCCGAGUAUCCUUAUUAUUCCAAUGUUGCUCAACGGGCUUGUAAACGAAUCAUGUUCAUGAAAGUUCAGUUUAAAGCAUAAAUGGCAAGCUCAUGUAAGUUGUAAGACUUAAGAACUUAUUAUACUAUCAAUUGAUGUUCAACGAUGCAGCAAGGAUUGAGUAAGUUAUGCACACAAGUAUUCUAAGUAAACAAGUAAGAGAACUAGUAUGAGAUUAACUAAAGAGUAAACUAGAGAUAUAGACAUUAAGUUUAAUUAUUUAAGUUAAAUAUUGUUAUUUAUUUGCUAGUAAACUUACUAAGCUUUAUGCUUACUUCUUUUAUUUCUCUUUCUCUUAUAGUAUUGCAAAGCUACUUCAAGGAUCCUAAAGAAGUCGGAGAUCGUCCACACUAUCAACUACAACUGCUCGGUAUUUUAUAUCGAAACACGUUUGAGUUAUGGCAUGUAUAGGGAUUUAGUUAUUUUGUAUGUUUGUAAUGAUGAUUUUGCUAAUGAGUGAUGUCUAAGUAUUUGAUGAUGUAUGGUUAUUAAAAUGGUUAAGGAUGAAGGUGUUUGUUGUUAUGAAAGAUUAGGUGAUAAAUUAUGCAUGGAAAUCAUGAAAGGAUAAAAUUUUGCAAAGAAACAGAAUUCAGGCAGCACAGUGACGUGAAUUUGAAAAAUCACCCAAGAUAGUAUAAAAUGAAUUUGAGGGUGAAUGAUAUAUGGAAUUAAAUCUUGUUGAGUCUAUUUUCAUGGAAAAAUAACGGUGUAGAAAAAGGAAAUUUAUAUUUUAAGAUAUGUGAAUUUUAGUAAGAUAGGGUCAGAACUGUUUUUGGAGUCCCCUAUUCUGAGUUUAGAAAAUAAUUACAAAUUGUAAAAAAAUGGUUAUGAGUUGAAAUUUACAUUCUUAGAUUCCUUAAUGAGUCUAUUUUCUGUAGAAACAAGUAAGAACUUCAUAUGAAAAUCCUACAGUUAGAAAACUUAUUUUUAGUGACUAGAGGUCAGGGCAGUCAGGUGGUGAAACAGGGGAGACUUUAACUAAUAAACUUUACUAAUUUUCUGAACCAAAAAAAUUCUAAAAAUUUUAUGGUGAGUAGAUAUAUGAGUCUAGUUUUAGGGAAAAUUUACGGAAUUAAAUUUCGAGUUCUGUAGCUCAAGUUAUAAUUAAUUUAGUAACUGCUGCGCGAUUGGACAGAUUUGCUGCGAAUAAUGAAAUAAAUUUUCAAACCUAGUUUUUAUGCUCCAAAUUGGUAAGAUAAGCUAAGUAAUGCCUCAUGCUCGACUCCGGAAACGGUCUCGGGUAAGGGGUGUUACAAAUAUAAACUAUAAAGAUGAUAUUAUUAAAAUUUUAAUAUUAAUAAAAAUUAAACAAUAAAAAAAAUCAAAUAGUUCUAAGUUUUUAACCCUAAAACCUAAAUUCCCAAAACCUAUUGUAGAUUGUAGUCGUGCACGUAUUUUACAUCUAACCUCUAUCCCCCAGCCUCUCCUAAACUCUGUCUGUCACCCUGCCCCUUUACUUCUUGUGUUGUUUAGCUAUAUUGUUGGCCUGUAGUCGUGCUUCAUUCUUCUACGUCAUCUUACACCUCACCUUAAAUCACCAGCUUCCACAAUUGUUUCUCUCACUCAAUGGUAACAUUUUUCUCUCAUACUCACUCUUUCUAGAUAUAACCAUGGUAUUUGCCUAUUUUACUUGAGGUACAUCAUAAACGUUCUACUGCCUCUGUUAUUUGUUUAUUGUUUUAAUCAUGGAAGAGUUUGUUUCCUUUAUGUUUUGAGUGUCAAAAGUUGUAAAACUCCAAAGAUUGACAACCUGCAUACAAAGAAAAAUAGAAUGAAUGAGAAUUAUUAGGCUUGGUAGCAUCAUUUUAUUAAGUUUGGAAAAAAAAUAACCAAAUUAAACUCGGUUUGGUCGAUUAACUGACCGAAAAUGGUCAGCUAGUUUUUUCAGUUUCGUAAGAAAAGAAGUUAGUUAAGUCAAUUUUCAGUUUACUGCAUUGAACUGACCAGUUGCACACACCUAGUUUUGUGUCAUGUAACACCAAGCUAUGGCCGCUCAUUUUAAUAUGUAUGCUACUAAUCUUACCAUUCGCUUUAUGAAUCUCCAUAUGGUUGAAUCUAUCUACUUCUGCAAGCUAAUCUAUAAAACCUUUAAUAUUUAAAUUACCAUAAAAAUGAGGAAGAUCUAUCUUUAUACAAAAUUCAUCAUGUUGAGAUCUUCAUUUUCUUCAUCCUGUAAUCUUUGACAUUGGCCUGUUGUCAAUGUUGAAAAAUUCAAUUUAAAAAUAGUGUUUAUUAGGCACAUUGAAAGUUUAAAAUUUUCUUUAAUUCGAGUGAUGGUCACUAAACUAACUAUAAUUACGACAAAGACAAGCGCACCUAUUGAACAAUAGUAUAGCUAUGGUGAGUAGGGAAUAUCGUAUCCACGAAAACUAAAAGUACUAGUAAUUAUCGCUUUUCUAUUAUUUAGCCGAUAAAUUGAAGUGAUUGUUUUUAAUCUAAAUUUACUAAUCUAAUUUAACUACGAACGCAACAGAGAAUAAAAUGGGAAAAUAAUUGAAAACAACCAAUUAGAAAGACAAUACCCAGGAAAGAAUCCACCUAGACUUUACAUAUGAUUCUGAAUCUGAAUUAAACGAUUUAUUCACUUGUGUCUUGAUCCGUAAAAAUCCCUAAAUUAUGUUAAUAUCUCUUUCGAGAGUAAGAACAACUGACUAUAGGUUGAUUAAUUGAAAUCUCUUUCUAAUUAAAACCCUAUCUUCGCAUUAACUCGAUCUAUGUAUUCCCCUAUUAGAUUUGACUCUAAUCUGGUAGAUUUAUGUCAUCCUAUUUCUAGGAUUACAUGCAACUCCACUCAAUAAUGCUAGAUUUAUUCUUAAACAGGGACUAUUUCUCCACUGAAAUAAGCACAUUAAACAUGAAUUAAUAUCCCAAAAAUAUUAAAACACGAAAUAAGCAUACAUAAUUGAGAACAAGAAUCAAGUAUUUAUCAUGUAAAUCAGAAAUCAAAUAAUAAGAUUCAUCAUAGGUUUCAUCUUCCCUAAGUAUCUAGGGAAUUUAGUUCAUAAUCUAGAAUGAAAACAUCUCAAAGUUAGGAUAACAACAAGACAUAAAGAAACUUAAUAAAACUUCGAAGAAAAUUAAAUGGAGAUCUUCAAUCUUGAAGGAGAUCCACUUCUGAUGGCGUUCUUCGAGUCUUUUCUCCGGUCUUCUCUGCGUGCCCCCUUAGGUAUUCUUCUAAUUGGUAUUUAUAGACUAUAGAAUUCUCAGAAAGCCUAAAAAUUGGGUUUUUCAGUGUAUUUGGGAAGCAGGGUGCGAUAUUGACACGGACUGGCACAUGGGCGUGUAGCCAGCCCGUGUGGAAAUGCCGAGGCUGUAUGGAUCCUGAAAACAGCUCUAUUUAUCUGAUUUUGGCUUGUUUUUCGUUCCUUUUGCUCCCAAAUGCUCUCAUAAGUAUAAAGACAUUAAUUUAAAGGAUUAGAAGCAUCAAAUUCACUAAUUUACAUAAUUAAUCAUCCAGAAAUGCAUCAAGAAUAGGAUUAAAAUUAUGUUACUUUUAUGGCUUAUCAUCGAGCCAUUGUGAUGUUUAUAACAAUAAACCGCAUCUAUCCUUCCUACAAUUCACCUUUUAACAAUUAUAGACCUAGUAAGAAACCUAUAACAAUCACAAAAGGCAGCAGCCAAACUUUACCUUCCCGGUAGGGAGCCCACUCAUGCUUACGCAGAUGAUGUGGAGCAUCAAGUGGAGGCAACAUCUCAAAUUUCAGCAUAAUAGAUGGCCUAAAACAAUAAUUAGACCAUUAAACAAAUAAGAAAUUAGGUUAAAAAAACUCAUUGAUCCGAAAAAUAGUAGCAGCACGAGCAAUUUGACUCGCCAACUGAAAGAAAAAUGAGAAAUUAAAUGAAAAUUUGUAACAUAGGGUGGAAAGAGUGAAGAGAAAUAGAGGGAUUUUCCAUUACUCGAGUGGCGAGCUCGAGAGACUGAGCAUUGUCGACGAUAGAACCAGCGAUGGCUACGGUGACAGUGGGGAUAUCGUCGGCUUUUUUGGUUUCACCGUUGGUUUCUUUCUACGGUGACAGUGAUUCGAAUCUGCUAACCUAGAAUUAAACUAAAGACACUACAAGGCAGCCAUUGAAAUUAAUUACAGAGAGGAAAAGAGAGUUAGAAAAGAAAAGAAAAGAAAAGAGAGAGUUGAAACUCAUUACAGUGAUUCCAUUCCUUUACCUUUCAGUUGCAGUAACCUGGAGACUGGUUGAGAAGAAGAAGGUCGACUGGUUGAGAAGGCAAUCGAAAGAGUGGCAGAGCGAAAAAGAAAAGAAAGGAAACGGAGGGAACAAAUCGGCAGCAAAGAGGCGUAAUGGACUGGGAGGAAAUCGGCAGAAAACAAAAGCAAAGAAAUAAGGAAGGAAAUCAGAUGAAGGAACAGAAGAGAAACAAGGGGAUGGGGGGAGGGCAAAUCAGGGAGGUGAUGCUCAAUCGGUAACUAAUCUGGGCAAAGAGGGGGGAAUAGAAAUCGGUGGUUUUCACCGAUUAAGAAGGUAAUGGAUUAGGUGCGUAUUACCAAUACAUCAAACCAAACGACGUGUUACACCCGGAUUAGGUGGGGCCCACCGAUUAGGGGUGUAUUGGCAUAGCCAAUACACCAAACCAAACAAGCUGAAGGAUGUUUGAUUGAAUUAAGAUUCAAUAAUCUUUUAAUAUAUUUAAAUAUAUUUAUUAUGUAUUAAUUGGUAUAUUUUUAUUAAGGUAAACUAUAUUCAUGAUCACUUUAAAAUAAGAUUUGUCUUAUUUUAGUUAUUUUAAUUUUUUUUUCAAUUUAAUCAUUUAACUAAAAUAAUUGUCAAACUACUUGGUAUGUUAAAAAUUAUAUUAAUUCACUAAUAGAUUGCUAAUUUGACAAAUUAAUUAAUUAAAUUUAAAGAUAUCUCUAUAAUUAAUUCAAAAAAAAAAUUUUCUUCCACUUCUGUCUUUUACCUCAUAAAAGGAUAAACCAAAACCCACUCCCUGUUCAAGACCAUCUCAUAGUAACUUGUCCUUCACCAUUUUCUCAUUUUCUCAGCAUUCUUUGUACUCAACGAUGAAAAUAAGACGUUUAUUGUCUUCAUAGUUAGUUCUCAAUUUCUGUGCAAAGGGCCAGAGAUCCUGAGAUAUUAGCAGCUUAUCUUAUAAAGCAGCGAUUCCUGAGUCUCCCUUGGAAGACACCAUUUCAAUCAAGUCCAUUGUGACCCUAAAGAAAGGCCAUUGGUUGUACAUGGCUUGAAGCAUUUGGAGAUUCUUCUUAUCCUUGUCAACCACAUGCUUAAAAGCAGCCCCAAAGCCAAGCCAAGCCACACAGGCAAAUGAAAUCUUGUUUGAGUCCACGCAAAGAUCCAAGAGAUUGCACGGAGAGUUUCAAUGCCUCCACUUGGCUUUCUUUUUUAUGGAGAUGGACGACUGCUAAUAUUCAUCUGACCAUACUCCAAUUCUGUUGUUGCUUGCAACCAUUUAAAAUUCACAUUGUUUUCUCAACCAGCCUUGGGAAGUAAAUUUAUCAAAUUUUUUUGGUAGCAAAUAAUGGUGAAAUACUUAACUAGGCAGAAGUAUUCAACAAAUCGAGGUUCCUGGAAGACUACAGAACAGUGUUCCUUUGUUGCAACUGUUAAGAAAAAAAUUAAUAUGGAAAAUUGAAAACAAAAACAAAAAGAAGAAAGAAAAAUCAAUGUCACUAAAAUAUAACGAGUUUGAGGUGUGUAGGUGUCUCCAAAAUACAACAAAAUCCUCAACACUCUAAACAGAAUAGUCAAAAUGACUAUCUUUUAAUGAAAUACCUUUCCAAGAAGAUAUCCUUCCAUAUGGACGUGUUUUUUAAUGGAAUACAUUUUCAUAUAAUUGUGUUAUUUUACAAAAUAACUUUACAUAAAGUUAUGUCUUUACAACUUUAUGUAUAAAAGUUACAUCUUUACAACAUAACUAUUCAUUAAUAAUUAUAAUUUAUUAGACUUUUCUGGAUAAUAAAAUAUUAUUACCUUUCAUCACUAUAAAUUUACUACACUAUGGUGGUAUAUAAUAUUUCUUUUAAAAAAUCAACAUACUCAUCAUGCGUAAAAUAUACAUUCUUUUAUUAAAGAAUGUUUAAGUCAAUAUUCAAGAUAUAAUAUAUCAACAUGUUUUUUCAUUCAUCUUUUCACUAUAUUCUUAAUAUAUAUUAUCUUCACAUAAUCAGUCAAAUGUUUUGAAAUUUCUCAAACUUUUGUCUAAAACUCAAUGUGAGGUGCAUAAAAGCAAGUAUAAAUCAAAUAUAACCACUGUCAGUGGAAUUCCAUGACAUUCUUGUUCUUUGCAAAUAUAAUAAUAAAUAAAAGGAAGACAACCUUCCUCAAUUGGUGUCCCACCUAAUUGUUGGUGUUUUUAAGGGUUUUUUUAUAUAAAUAAUACAAAAAAUUAAAAAAUUACCAAAAUAAUACAAGCUUUUUAUUAUGUACCAAAAUGGUACAAAUAAGAGUGGAGGGACUGCCACAGGCGCCACCAAAGAUACCAGUGGCAGAGGCGGCACUAAAGGUGCCAUUGCCACAGGCGGCACCCCCCAUUACAACGGGCCCCUUCAGCCGCACGAGAAGAAGAAGGAAAAGGAAAGGAGAAGAAGAAGAUAAUCCAUUAUUUUUUUAAAAAAAAUACCUUAUUUUUCAUUAAUAAUUAUAUAUGUUAUCUAGUUUUUAAACCAACUCAUAUUAUUUAUCCAACCCAAUAAAUAUUUUUCCAUGCCCAAAAUAGUAAUUAUUCAUUUAAUUAAUCAACUUAAUUAAAUUAAUUUCUCAGUCUGAUUCUAAUCUCGUUAAAGUUAUUAUGACUUUAUCGUAUUAGAAUAUAUAAGAAAAUUAAUUUAGCUAAGUUGCUCUUAUGAAACUAUGAUGAAUUAAAUUUAUUUAUUUUUCACUUCAAACUCUAAAUAAUAAUUCGAAGAAAUCAAUUUAAUUACCAAGUCAUCUCUUAUUCAUAGCGAGAAAACUUAUUCACUAUAGAUAUGGAUAAUAUCUUAAUAUGAAUCCAAGUUAAAUAACAUUAUAUGCAAAAUAUUAAGAUUUGAUAAAUAUAUAAAUUUAGUAAAAAUUUUAACUCCACAACAAUUUCGAAUUCAAAUAUCAGAAUACAAUAUUAUCUGGUAAAGUAAAGAAAAUUAGGUUAAUAUAUGGAAUUACACUAGCUAUUAUUUCUUAAUUUUGUAUGUUUUUUUUUUUUUUAUCAUAAUCGUUUGUCUCUUUUAAGUAUUAAAGAAGUUACGGACGGCAAGGGGAUGUUUUUUUCUUUUUUGUAUUAUGUGUGAAUUUUUGUAUUUAUUUUAUCUAUCGUUUCUUAAAGGUAAUUUAUUUAUUUUUGUAUUAUGCUUUUUUUAAAAUGUGAAAAUGUUGGGUCUAAAAAAGACACCUUUUCAAAGGUAGACCGUCUAGAGGGUUGAGAGUAGCCUUGCCUCCCAAUUUUUUUGAAAAAAAAAAUCAUUAGCCUUUAAAAUUUUUUAAAAAUAUUAAUUAAGUCCUUAAAAUUUUUUUAAAAUUCUCAUUAAAUCCUUUUAUUUUAGAAAUUUUUACUUAAACCCCUUAAAUUUUAAUACCAACAUCCUCUCUUCCUUCUUUUUGUUCUUCUUUUAGGAUUUCAAGUCUAGUAAUAUCAUGUAUGAAAAUGAAAAUAUUGAGUUGGAUAUUUAAGUGUCCAAACCAUUCUAGCCAUUCAUUCCACCGAAUCGGUUUGGAUAUUUAACUUUUAUAAAUGGUGGAAGCUAAUUUUAAGUUUGAUAUGGGUAUUGGAUAUUAAAUUCCUUGGGUUUGAAUAUUGAUGAGUAUAGUAUUUAGUAAUUAAACUAUGUAUUGGUUUAUUUGGGUGUUUUUAUAGAUAUUGGUGUUAGUUAUUUAUGAAAAUUGGGCUAUUUUAUCAAAAUAAUCUAAUUUUUUUUUAUAUUUAUAAAAAUAACAUAGGUUUAAAAACAAUCACCAAAAUAACUUGAAAUGAACAGUAAAAUGAGGUUGUGGCCUGUCAAUGGCCAGCACCACCUGGUAUUUUGGACCCAUGAUUACCUGAUAAUUGUGUCAGACUUAAAAAAAUGAUUUUUUUUAGUUUUGGCCUAUUAAUAGCAGGAACCAGUGUAUUUUUUUAAAUCGUAUUAUACUGAUAUACAGGGAAAAAAAGAAAAAAAAAUUGACAGGCCGGCACCACCUUUAUAUAAAAAAAAAACAAAUUUACAUUUUGGGUUGUCAUUGGCCAGCACCAGUAUAUGAAAAAAUAAAAAAAAAAUUGUGGUGACCUACCAAUGGCCGGCACCACCUUUAUGUAAUUUUUUUUUUACAUUUUGGGCUGUUCAAAUUUUUUUUUUUUACAUUUUGGCUUGCCAAUUGCCAGCACCACCAAAAAAAUAUUUUUUUUAAAAAAAAAUUUCGUAUACUGAUGUCGGCCAAUGACAGCCCAAAAUAUAAAUUUUUUUUACAUAAAGGUGGUGCCGGCCAUUGGCAGGCCACCGCCAAUUUUUUUUUUAAUUUUUUCGUAUACUAGUGUCGACCAAUUAAAGCCCAAAAUGUAAAACAAAAAAAAAUUACAAAAAGGUGGUGCCGGCCAUUGGUAGGCCGCUACCAAAUUUUUUUUUAAAAAUUUUUUCGUAUAUUGGUGCCAGCCAUUGACAGCCCAAAAUGUAAAUUUUUUUUACAUAAAGGUGAUGUCGGCUAUUGCCAGGCCACCACCAAAUUUUUUUUAAUUUUUUCGUAUAUUGGUGCCAGCUAUUGACAGCCCAAAAUGUAAAAAGAAAAAAAAUUUACAUAAAGGUAGUGCUGGCCAUUGGCAGGCCACCACCAAAAAAAGAAAUGUUUUUAACAUUUUUUCGUAUAUUGGUGCCGGCCAAUUACAGCCCAAAAUAUAAAUUUUUUAACAUAAAGGUGGUGCCGGUCAUUGGCAGGCCACCACCAAAAAAAAUAUUUUAUUUUUUUCGUAUACUGGUACCAAUUGAUAACAACCCAAAAUGUAUUUUUUUUUACAUAAAAGUGGUGUCGACUACUGCCAAGCCACCACAAAAAGAAAAUUUUAAAAUUUUUCGUAUAUUAGUGCCUCUCAUUAACAGCCCAAAAUAUAAAAAAAAUUACAUAAAGGUGGUGUCGGCAAUUGAUAGGCUACAAAAAAAACAAUUUCAUAUUUUUUCGUAAACUAGUGCCGGCAAAUGACAACCUAAAAUUUAAAAAAAAAUUACAUAAAGGUAGUGCCGGCCAUUGGCAAGCCACCAUUAAAAAAAAUUUAAAUUUUUUCGUAUACUGAUGCCGGCCAAUUACAGCUCAAAAUGUAAAAAAAAUAAUUUUUUUUACAUAAAGGUGGUGCCGGCUAUUGGUAGGCUACCACAAAAAAAAAUUCAAAUUUUUCCGUAUACUGGUGUCGGUCAAUGAUAGCCCAAAAUGUAAAAAAAUAUAUAUUUUUUACAUAAAGGUGGUGCUUGCCAUUGGCAGGCUACCACCAAAAAAAAAAUUUUUUUUUAAAAAAUUUUUGUAAAUUGGUACCGGGAAAUGACAGCCCAAAAUGUAAAAAAAAAUUUACAUAAAGGUGAUGCCGGCCAUUGGAAGGCCAAAAUUAAAAAAAAUUAAAUUUUUUCGUAUACUAGUGCCGGCCAAUAACAUCCCAAAAUGUAAAAAAAAAAAAAAUUUUACAUAAAGAUGGUGUCAGGCAUUGGUAGGCUACCACCAAAAAAAAUUUUAAAUUUUUUCGUAUACUAGUGUCAGCCAAUGACAUCCAAAAAUGUAAAAAAAAAUUACAUAAAGAUGGUGCUUGCCAUUGGCAAGCUAACACAAAAAAAAAUUUACAUAAAGGUGAUGCCGGCCAUUGCUAGGCUACCACAAAAAAAAAUUCAGAUUUUUUCGUAUACUGGUGUCAGCCAAUAACAACCCAAAAUGUAAAAAAAAUAUUUUUUUACAUAAAGGUGGUGCCAACCAUUGGCAGGCAAUCAUUAAAAAAAUUAAAUUUUUUCGUAUAUUAGUGCCAGCCAUUAACAGCCCAAAAUAUAAAAAAAAAUUAUAUAAAGUUGGUGUCGGCCAUUGGCAGGCUACAAAAAAAAAACAAUUUUAUAUUUUUUUGUAUACUGGUGCCGAAUAAUAACAGCCUAAAAUGUGAAAAAAAAAUUUACAUAAAGUUGGUGUCAGCCAUUACUAGGCCACAAAAAAAAUAUUAAUUUUUUUGUAUACUGGUGCUGGCCAAUGUUAGCCAAAAAUGUAAUUUUUUUUACAUAAAGGUAGUGCCGGCCAUUGGUAGGCUACCUCAAAUUUUUUUUAAUUUUUUGUACACUAACGUUGGCAAAUGACAGUCCAAAAUGUAAAAUAUAUAUAUAAAUGUGGUGGCAACCAUUGGCAGUCCAUCAUUAAAAAAAAAUUUAAAUUUUUUCGUAUACUGUUGCCGACAAAUGAUAGCUCAAACUGUAAAAAAAAAUUACAUUAAGGUCGUGCAGGCCAUUGGCAAGCUACCACCAAAAAAAAAUUCAAAUUUUUCUGUAUACUGGGGUUGGCCAAUGACAACCCAAAAUGUAAAAAAAAAUUACAUAAAGGUGGUACCGGCCAUUGGCAGGCCACCACCAAAAAAAAAAUUCAAAUUUUUUCGUUUACUGUUGCCGGCCAAUGACAGCCAAAAAUGUAAAAAAAUAUUUUUUUUCCAUAAAUGUGGUGUUAGCCAUUGUCAGGCCACCAACAAAAUUUUUUUAAAAAUUUUUUCGUAUAUUGGUGCCGGCAAAUAACAGCCCAAAUUUUUUUUUUACACAAAGGUAGUGCUGGCCAUUGGCAGGCCACCACCAAAAAAAGAAAUUUUUUUAAAAUUUUUUCGUAUACUGGUGCCGACGAAUGACAGCCCAAAAUGUAAUUUCUUUUACAUAAAGGUGAUGCCAGCCAUUGGCAAAAAAAUUAUUUUUUCGUAUACUGGUGCUGGCGAAUGACAUCACAAAAUAUAAACUUUUUUUUUACAUAAAGGUGGUGCCGGCCAUUGGCAGGCCACCACCAAAAGAAGAAAUUUUUUUUAAAAUUUUGUCGGGUGUCGGCUAAUGACAUCCCAAAAUGUAAAAAAAAAAUUCCAUAAAGGUGGUGCUGGCCAUUGGUGGGCCACCACCAAAUUUUUUUUAAAUUUUUUCGUAUACUGGUGCCAGCAAAUGACAGACAAAAAUAUAAAAAAAAAUUACAUAAAGAUGGUGCCGGCUAUUUGCAGGCCACCACCAAACAAUUUUUUCGUAUACUGGUGCCGGCAAAUGAUAGCUCAAAAUGUAAAAAAAAAAAUUACAUAAAGGUGGUGCCGGCCAUUGGCAGGCCACCACCAAAAAUAUUUUUUUUAAAAUUGUUUCGUAUACUGGUGUUGGCCAAUGAUAGCCCAAAAUGUAAAAAAAAAUUUACAUAAAGGUCGUGUCGGCCAUUGGUAGGCCACCAAAAAAAUAAAUUUUUUUAAAAUUUUUUUGUAUACUAGUGCCGGCUAAUGACAGCCCAAAAUGUAAAAUUAUUUUUCUUACAUAAAGUUGGCCGGCCAUUGACAGGCCAACACCCAAUUUUUUUUUUCUUUUUUUCCCUAUAUACCAGUAUGAUGCAAUUUAAAAAAAAUACAAUAGUUCCGGCCAUUGACAGGCCAGAACUAAAAAAAUCAUUUUUUAAGUCUGACACAAUUAUCAGGCAAUCAUGGGUCCAAAAUACCAGGUGGUGCCAACCAUUGACAGGCCACAGCCCCAUUUUACUGUUAAUUUCAGAUUAUUUUGGUGAUUGUUUUUAAACCUGGGUUAUUUUUGUAAAUAUAAAUUUUUUUUGGAUUUUGGUAAAAUAACCUGAAAAUUGAAUUAAAUUAAAAUAUUAAAUAUAAAAUUAAAUAAAUAUAUAUAUAAUUUAUGUGGAGUACCAGUUUUGUACAAGUGGAAUGAAAGUGACCUUUGUCUACAUUACUAACAUAGAUACAGAAAAAGUUGCCUCUGUUGACAUUCCUAAAAUAGAUAUAAAAUUAGCAGGAAGAAGCUGAAUCUCUUGAACUUGAUUCAUUAUGUGAAACCAAUUUUUUAUUUGUAGGAAAAUUUUGGGUAACCAAUUAUGCAGAUGGAUGGUAGUUGUGUGGCAACAAGUUUUAGGAUUUCGGAACAGGUUUUGACGUCAAGUGGGCAGUGGAUGCAGCUCUUGGGCUUUGGCACCGCAGCCUACCCGCUGGUAACACCGGAAGUUGCAAAGCAGGCGAUUCUCCAAGCAAUCGAGCUUGGUUAUCUGCAUUUCGAUCCAGCUUAUAUUUACGAAACGGAACAGCCGCUUGGUGAAGCAAUCGUAGAAGCAACCUUGCUUGGCUUAAUUAAAUCUCGAGACGAGUUGUUCAUCACUACAAAGCUCUAGUGCAGCGAAGCUUAUGGAGAACUUGUUCUUCCUCAGCUUCGCAAGAGCUUGCAGUAAGUUAUAUAUAUAUUUCUUUUUCUAAUUUCAAAUUAAUAUCUCCUUACCCUGAAUAGACGUUGUGGCCACUGACAUGGUUAAUUGUGGCUAAAGUUUAAACUAUUUCUACCAUAGAAAUCUCAAGACGGAGUACGUGGAUCUCUAUCUUAUUCACUGGCCUUUAAGCAGAAAACAAGAGAGAUACGGAUUCCCAGUAACGAAGGAAGAGUUUAUCCCCAUGGAUUUCGGAUCCGUAUGGGCAGCCACGGAAGAUUGCCAGAGGCUUGGCCUUACAAAGUCCAUUGGGGUAAGCAAUUUUUCCUGCAAAAAACUAGCUGACAUACUUACCUUGGCAAAGAUCCUUCCUGCUGUUAACCAGGUAAAACUCUCCCUUUUUCUCUUUGAAUCUGGUAUACACCUAGCAUAGUAGCAAUCACUUUGGUUUCAAUGUUGGGAUAUAUAGUGACGAAGUUACAAUUUUUUUCCUGCAAGGUGGAAUUCAACCCGCUGUGGAACCAGAAGAAGUUAAGAGAGUAUUGCAAAGCAAAUGGGGUCCUCCUCAUAGGUUACUCCCCAUUGGGAGCCAGUGGGACACUUUGGGCCAGCAGUAGAGUUGUGGAGAAUGAGGUGCUCAAGGAAAUAGCGGAGGCUAAAGGGAAGAUAGUUGCUCAGGUCAGGUGCUUGUUGUUUCCUUUAAAACCAAAGCUAGCUAUUUCAGAAUUAUAGAUAGAAAUUAGUCUGAUUUAUUAAUCCAGAAACAGAUAUGUUUGAAAUGGGCAUUUGAAGAAGGUGUGGGUGUAAUCGUGAAGAGCUUCAAUGUUGAGAGGAUGAAGCAAAACCUUGAGAUAUUGGAUUGGUCAUUGAGCGAGGAGGAGUGUAAAAGGAUCGGUGACCUCCCACAAAGUAGGGGUUGCACUGGAGAAUCGUUUGUCUCUGAAAACAGACAAUCGAGGAGUUUUGGGAUGGGGAAGUUUGAUUACAUUUUCAUCUUAAAAAAUAGCCUUGAGUCAUAAUUUGAAAUUUAGUCUUCAUAUUCCUUAAAAUAAUAAGGAUGUUUGCUUGAAUUAAGAUUCAAUAAUCUUUUAAGAUAUUUAAAUAUAUUUAUUAUGUAUUAAUUGGUAUAUUUUUAUUAAGGUAAACUACAUUCACGAUCACUUUAAAAUAAGAUUUGUCUUAUUUUAGUUAUUUUAAUUUUUUUUCAAUUUAAUCACUUAAUUAAAAUAAUUGUCAAACUACUUAGUAUGCUAAAAAUUAUAUUAAUUCACUAAUACAUUACUAAUGUGACAAAUUAACCAAUUAAAUUUAAAGAUAUCUCUAUAAUUAAUUCAAAAACUUUUUUUUUCUUCCACUUCCGUCUUUUACCUCAUAAAAGGAUAAACCAAAACCCACUCCCUGUUCAAGACCAUCUCAAAGUAACUUGUCCUUCACUAUUUUCUCAGCAUUCUUUGUACUCAACGAUGAAAAUAAGACGUUUAGUGUCUUCAUAGUUAGUAUUCAACAAAAAAUUAAUAUGGAAAAUUGAAAACAAAAAAAUGAAAAGAACAAAGAAAAAUCAAUGUUACUAAAAUAUAACGACUUUGAACACUUUCUUUAAAAGGUUUUUGUAUGUCUCCAAGGUAUAACAAAAUCCUGAAAACUCAAUAGUCAAAAUGACCAUCUUCUAAUGAAAUACCUUUCCAAGAAGAUAUCCUUUCAUAUGGACGUAUCUUUUAAUAAAAUACAUUUUCAUAUAACUGUGUUGUUUUACAAAAUAACUUUACAUAAAGUUAUGUCUGUACAACUUUAUGUAUAAAAGUUACGCUUUUACAACACAACUAUUAAUUAAUAAUUAUAAUUUAUUAGACUUUUUUGAAUAAUAAAAUAUUAUUACCUAUCAUGUCUAAUAAUAAAAUAUUAUUAGACUUCCUUUUGGCCUUCUCAUAAGAUUUGCAUCUAAACAAAACAAAGACAAAGUGAACAAACCUCAAAAAUUGAUGUCUUCUAGAAGUAGAGAAUUUAGUUCAGGACCUGCAACCAAACAGACUGCAUGUAGUGGCACAGUACCAUCACCAAUGUCAACAAACACAAAAACUCAACGAAAAGGUAUGUUCAAUAAAAUCAAUCAGAGUAAUUCUAUGCCAUUUAUCAAUCUUCGAGGAAAGACAAACUUUUUUCACAUGCAAUUUUAAUUCCAUUACAGAAGUUCUGUUAAAUUUGUUUAUUUUUCAGUAUACAGGUCAAACUUUUUUUUUCUGCCAUUUGUAUUCUUCAAUUCUUCAAUUUUGUAGUCUUUCAAAAAAUCAAAGGACCAUAACCUAUAAACCUUGAAACAAAUCUGUAAACCCAUUUGUAUUCACAUCAUUGGCUAAGGCUUAUAUUUACAGUAAAGAUCAGAGAAAGAAAAAAUAAAGAAAACUAACUAAAUGUCUAAUGAGAAUUUAACCGAAUAAACAAGGGUUAACACUGUUAAUAUACCUUUGAAUUUUGAAAUAAAGAAAACUAACCUCUGAUUCUGAAAAUGGGUGGAGCCGUGGAGGACCGGAGGUGGAUUGGUGCCGGAGGUGAAGGUUGAGAAAAAAAGGGAGGAGGGCAGUCGGGCAAGGGGUUAGGGAUUUGUGGAAGAAGGGAAACGGGAAAUGGGGGAAAUGGGUGGAGCCGUGGAGGACCGGAGGUGGAUCGGUGCCGGAGGUGAAGAUUGAGAAAAAUAUGGAGGAGGGCAGUCGGGCACUAGGGAUUUCUGGAAGAGGGGAAAUGGGGAAGAAAAAAUUUUGCCCGAGGCCCGGCCCGUUUUCUAAACGGGCCUCGUUUUUGCCCAAUCUCAUAUUUCGGGCCUAUAUUUUUACCCGAACCCUCUCAUAUUUCAGACGGGUUGUCGGGCCGGGCCGCCCAGCCCAUGAGCACCUCUACUUGUAACUAAACAUUUUAUUAAGAAAUAGAUUUUAUUUUAUCUCCUUUAUUUUAAAAAAACUAGUAAAUUAGUUAUUGUAUAUUAGAUUAAAUAAUAAAUUGGUUAUUUUAAAUAAAAAAUAUUUAUUUUUAUUAUUAAAUACUGUUAUGACUGAUAAAAUAAUCAGACAGUUACAUGUGAUGCGCCAUGUGUACAUCAUUAUGGCAUACAAUGACCAUUUUUAAUGGUGAAAAUAGAUAAAAUUUUAAACAGAAAGAAUAGUUUUUUCUUUGAUCUAAUUACAAAGACUAAUUUAUUUAUUUUUUGAAUAGGGAGAUAAAAAUGCAAUUUAACUACUAAUGCAAGGGAUUUCAUGGUACUUUUACCGUUGUUUAUAUAAUUUUUUUGAAACGGAAAUUUAAUUAGGUUAAAAGAUUAUUUAAGCACAACUGAAUUUUAAAAUCUUAUUCGAAUAUAGGAAAAAACAGAAUUUUUUUUAAAAAAAUUUAAUAUAUCAAAAAUUAUAAAAUAUAAAAUACUUCAAAUACGAUUAUCACAUGAAAAAAAUGUACGAAUAGAACACAAAUUAAUUGAUCUAAUGUUAGCUUAAGUAGGUAAAAAAUGUAUAUCUUAUUUAUUUUAAUUUUUAAAAAAAGAUAUUUAAUAGAAUUAAUUAAUUUGAUAUUUGUGAAAAAUAGUUUAUAUAUAUUCUAAAUUUUUGUAAAACAAAUACUUAAUUAAUACACUAUUUUGAUAUUAAUUAAUGGUGUAAUAUUCGUAUAAUAAUUACAAAUAUAUGUUUAAAAUCAUGAAUAAUAUAAAUCCUAAUCCUCAAGCCCAAAAUAUAUAUAUGUUGUUAAAUAAGGGGGCGGGGAAGAGUCCAAGAAUUAGCGAAAGCCCGAAAUGUUAGCAAAAAGAAAACACAAAACCCAAAGAAAAAGAAAAUCAAAUGGCCCAUGCAGGUUUCGAACCUGCGACCUUCGCGUUAUUAGCACGACGCUCUAACCAACUGAGCUAAUAGGCCUGUAGAUGAUAAACAUGUAGUAAUUAAUAUAUUUAGCAGUUACAAAACCGUCAAGCAAUUUGGGUCGGAAAUUGUGUAUGGACAUGGUGUAUUUAAAUAAUGUUUGGAUAUACAUUAAUCCAAAGGCUUUAUUUAGUAAAGAGAAGUAAAUUUUAUAGCUUAAAUUAUUCACAUUUGCUUAAAAAGUAGGUUAGAGAAAUACAUCUUAAAAACAAUAUUGGUAUUACCUUUUUAGAAAAGUAUCCCUAUUCUCUAUUCUCUUAUUCUCCUAUUUAUAUUUAUAUAUUUUUAAAUUUUAUAAAUAAUAUUUUUUAACAUUUAUUUUUUUGAAUUAUAAUUUUUUAUAUUUUUAAGCAAUAUAUUAUAUAUAAUAUUUUUAAAAAGGUGAUGCGGCGCCACAUGGAUGAUAAACAGUUGGUCAAUGAUAGUCAACAUGGGUCAAUAAUGGUCAACAUUGGUCAAUGGUUGGCCAAAGAUGACCAACCAUAGACAACAUCCAGUCAAUGGAGAGCCAAUGUUUUUAUUUUAAAUAAAUUGAAUUGUCACAUUAUACAUUUUAAUUGAUUGGAUGUGUUAACAUGAUACAUUUUGAUAAGCAGAUAACUGAUUUUUUUUAACACUGUUGUAAGAAAAAAAAAAAGGCUGAACCGAAAAAGAAAAAUAAUAGCUUAACUAGUAAUCUGGAAAAAAGGGUUAAAUACCAAAAUAAAAAAGCAAACAUAUCGAUCGGUUAACCGAAUUUUUUCGGUUUUAUCCGAAUUAUGCACACCCCUAAUGCUAAAUUUUGCCCUAUGUUUGUUUUUUUAUUUUGGUAUUUAACCGGUUAACCGAGUUUUUUCGGUCGGGGGUCGAUUAAUUUUUUUAUGAUUUUUCGGUUAACGGUUAAUUCGGUUCGAAACCGGUCGGUUAACCGAAAAUUUUCGAUUAACCGAAAAAAUUAAUAAAUAAAAUUAUCCAACCAAGCCCAAACUCAAUUACCCAACCCAAUCACCCAACCCAAUAAAACUAAAACUAAAGUUUACCCAAUUACCCAAUCCAAUAAAACUAAAACUAAAAGACAACCCAAUUUAUUAAAGUCUAAAACUCAAUUUACUUUAAUAAUUUAUAAAUUUUUUAAAUUUUAAAAAUAAAAAAUAAAAAAAUUCGGGUAAUUCGGGUAUUUUUUGGUAAUUCGGUUAAUUCGAGUAAUUCGGGUAAUUUUUAACCAAAAAUAAAAAAUACAUAAUUUUCGGUUAAUUCGGUUAACCGACCUUAUUAACCGAAAAAAUUUCGGUUCGGUUAAUUUUUUUAAAAAAAAAAUCGAUUCGGUUAACGGUUAAAAUUUUUAGAAGGUCAAUUAAUUCGAUUAUAGUAAUUUCAAAUUCGGGUCGGUUAAUCGAAUGAAUACCCUAUUUAGCAUUACCUCAUUUAAUGCCUUAAAUUCAGUAAUCAAGUUGAAUUUUCUUUUUGAGAAGAUUCAAGUCUAUUUUUCGCCGCAAGUUUUCCAUCCAAAGAAACUGACUACCUCAGGCUCUCUCAUUAUCCAUAUUCACAUAAAGGGUUGAAGCAAAAGAAAAUAUUCUUUUUCUUCCUUUUUGAGUUGUUAAAAAGAAUAUGGGGAGUAUUCCAGAUUAUGUUUUGAGGUGGAGUGGGCAAAGAAUGCCGGUUGUGGGAUUUGGCACCGCAUCGGAGAUAGUUGAAGGAUCAGAUUUUUUUACUGUCACAAAACAAGCUGUUCUUCAAGCAAUCAAACUGGGUUAUAGGCACUUCGAUACAGCUUCUCUGUAUGGGUCAGAGCAGCCUUUGGGUGAAGCAAUCGUUGAAGCACUCUCGCUUGGCUUAAUCAAAUCUCGAAACGAGCUCUUCAUCACUUCCAAGCUGUGGUGCACCCAAGCUUAUGGAGAUCUUGUUCUUCCUGCUCUCAAGACAAGCUUACAGUAAAAUCAAAUAUUUGUUUCCCCUUUUUUGUUUUUUCUAUCUUUUGUUGAGCUGAAGACAGGGAAUGGUUGUUGAAGUGCAGGAAUCUGAAGUUGGACUAUCUAGAUCUUUAUCUCAUUCAUUGGCCUAUAUGCUUAAAACAAAGGAAGGAAGGGGUGUCAGGGGGUAAGGAAUAUGAUCUAUUCCCUAUGGAUUUCAGUUCCGUAUGGGCCGCCAUGGAAGAUUGCCAGAGGCUUGGGCUCACCAAAUCUAUCGGUCUUAGCAAUUUUACAUGCAAAAAGGUGGCCGAUGUUUUGUCAAUCGCAAAGAUCCCUCCGGUUGUUAAUCAAGUAACUCGCUCUUUCUCUCUCUGACACACAGUUAGCCUUCAAUUUUGUUUGAGUUUUGAAGUAUUUGUGAGGCCGAAAGUGAAGCUAUUUCAAUGUUUUGAAGGUGGAAUUGAACCCUCUGUGGCAACAAAAGAAGCUGAAAGACUUCUGCCAUGGAAAUGGGAUCCUUUUGCAAGCUUACUCUCCAUUGGGAGCCGUAGGAACCAAGUGGGGCAGCAAUAGAGUUAUGGAGUGUGAGGUGCUCAAGGAAAUCGCCAAAGUAAAAGGGAAGACCGUGGCUCAGGUGCGUUUUUCAUCCAGAAAACAGAAGCAAAAUUAGCUUCGUCUUUUUUGUUUUAGGAAAUUUAGAUGAAAGUUGAGUACUAAAAUACUAAACCAAAAACCAGGUAUGUCUAAGAUGGGCGUAUGAGGAAGGGGUGAUUCUAAUAGUGAAGAGUUUCAACGCAGAGAGAAUGAAGCAAAACCUUGAGAUAAUGGAUUGGUCAUUGAGUGAGGACGAGCUGAAAAUGAUCCAACACAUCCCACAAAGCCGAGGCAUCCAGGCAGAAGCUUUCGUCUCCGAAAACGGUCCUUUCAAGACACUGGAGGAACUUUGGGAUGGAGAAAUUUGAUUUGGUAUACAAUAUUUCCACACAAUUGUCUCCUGUCUUCCAUUUCCCUGUUAGUUUUACUUUCACCUUCCACUUUCUUUACUCUGAUUACUCGGAGUUCUCUUAUCUUUUAUGAAAUCCCAAUAGGACCGAUCCAUAUAUUUAUACAACAGAGGAGUUAAUGAAUCAGUAAAGAAAUCAACUAACAAUCAACCUAACAGAAUCUUGAUUAACACACUAACUGAAGAUUUAACAGAUUACAAACUCACUUAACUAACCUUAACUGCUAACUAACUAACUACUAAUUGAACGACUCAACUUGAACCUUGAAGCUGCAGCACCAUACUUCAGUUAGCUGCCUUCAUACCUGGCAGUUUUGAUGUUGAACAUGUUGUUGUUGCUCAUAUUUGCUAGCAACACCAAGACUAAAUUUGAAUUUAUUGAAAAACGGUGCAGAGGCUUGGUAAGGACAUUUGCAAUCUGUUCUUGUGCUGGAACAUGACCACCCCGCUGUCACUUUCUCUCGAACAAAAAAGGCUUUUUUAUUUAAAUAACUCAAAUAAUUUAAUUAAGUACCAAAAUGACCCACUUUUUUAAUUAAACACCAAAAUGACCUAAAAUCUACAGUAAAAGUUGGAGCCAAUUUAUAUGGCGCCACCAACUUGCUACGUCAGCAGGGAGCAUUAAAAAAUUAAUUUUUUGGUAGAGCCAUGUAAAAUGGCGCCACCUGUAUAAAUACUAUGGAAAUACUUCAAGUUUUGGAAAAGUGGGGGACUUCAAAAUAAUUUUUCAUUUUCUGGUGGAGCCAACUUAAAUGGCGCCACGAGACACCCUUCUUUUAUUUUUAUUUUUUAACUUUUUUAUUAACUUUUGUCUUUUUCUUUAAUUUUUUUUCUUUUUUUAAGUUUUAUAUUUUUUCUUAUUUUAUUUUGUUUAUUUUAUUUUAUUUAUUUAUUGUUAUUAAUUUUAAAAAAUCUGAAAUAUAUAUUUGAAAUGUUUUAUAAUAUAUAUUUUUUAAAAUUUUAAAUAUUAUUUUUAAAUUAUUUUUUAAAUUUUUAAUAUUAUUUUUUAAAAUAUUAAAUAUAUAUUUUUAAUAAUAUAAAAUAUUUAAAUAUUUUAAAAAUAUGACCUUUCAAAUUUAUUAUUAGUUUUUUAAUAUUUUAAAUAUUAUUUAAUUUGUUUUAUAAUAUUUUAAAUUUUGAUUUUUAAAUUAUUUUUAAAGAUAUUUGGCUUUUUAAUAAAAAUAACCCAAAAAAUUUAAUUAUUUAUCAAAAUUACCCAUUUUUUUAAUUUGGCUCUACCAACUUUUACUGUAGAUUUCAGGUCACUUUCGUGUUUAAUUAAAAAAUGAGUUAUUUUGAUAAUGAAUUAAAUUUUUUGUGUUAUUUUUAUAAAAAAAGCCAAGAUAUUCAAACCAUUUUUUAAAUUCUAUUUAAAAGUUAAAAAAUAAUAUUUUAUUUAAAAAAGUGAAAUUUGAAUUAAUUAAAAAUAAGAAAUAUUUGUUAAAAAAAGAUUUAUUUGUUAAAAAUAAAUUUAUUUAAAAAUAUAUAUUAAAAAGUAAAAAUUAAAAUUAAAAGUUAAAAAUAUAUAUUAUAAGAUCACAUCAUGUCAGUAAUGUGACUAGAUAUGAGAUUAAACAUUAAAUAAAAAAAAUCAAUCUUAAAUAAGGGAGGUUUGGUCCCCCUUUAGAAGAAAGAAAAAAGAGAGAAAAAAAAGUUAAAGUUAGUUAAUUUUUUUUAUAUAUUUUAUAGUUAUUGUAAUAUAAUAAUUAUUUAUAUUGUAUUUAUGUGUUUUUUUUAUAUCAUGCAGAUAUCAAAAUGUCUUCUGGAGAUAUAGAUCACACUUCAUUGAGGAUCGACGAAACAGUAAAAUUAAUUAUGAAUUAAAUAAAAAAUCGUUUUAGUUUCUCAUUUUUUCUUGUUAAGCACUACUUUACUCAACGUGUUUUGAUUCAUGAAUGUGAUAUCUAUUUAGUUAUUAUUAUUCCUUUUUAACUAUUUUCUUGCAUGAAAUUAAUAUGUAUGUGUUGGUUAUAAUUUUUUAAUUUUAGGACACAUUUAUAAAUUUAUAUAUUAAUUUUUUUAAUUUUAGUACACAUUCAUAAAUUUAUGUACUUAAUAUAUAUUUUUAAUAGAUAAAGACAAAAAAGAUUUUCUUAAUAGAUUUAAAAUGUUUAAAAACUUAAAGAAAUUAAAUAUAUUAAAAAAUGUUAUGUAUAGCCAAUUUUAAAAUUUUAAUAUAUUUAAUAUAUUUUUAAAAAAAUUAAAUAUAUUAAAAAAUUUUAAGUAUAACCAAAAUUAAAAUUAUAAUAUAUUCAAUAUAUUUUUUAAAAAUAUAUUUUAAAAUGUUAAUAUAUUUAAUAAAUUUUUUAAUAGGAAAAGAGAAAAAUAAUUUUUUAAUAUAUUUAAAAUUUUAAAAAACGUAAACAAAAUUAAAUAUAUUAAUUUUUUAAAUAUGUUAAAAGAAAAUGUUGAGUAUAACCAAUUUAAAAUUUUUAAUAACUGAAUAUAUUUAAAUAUAUUAAAAUUUUGAACAUAUUAAAAAAAAUUAAGUCUAUAUAUUAUAUGUAUGAUAAAAGUUCUCGUAUGUAAGAUAAAUUUUCGAGUUUGAAUAUGCGUAGUUUAUAUUAUAUGUAAAACUCUAUAUAUUAUUAUAGAUAUGAAUUCAAUAUAAAAAUAAGUUUUUUCUUAUUUUUAUAUUUACCCAUACAACCUAUAGUUUUUUAGGAUAUUAUUAUUAUUUUUAUGUACUUUUUGUUGUUAUAUAGUUGCAUUUAGUUUUAAUGCUUAACUAUGAUUAAUAUUUUAUGACAAAUCUUCAUUCUAUUAUUAAUAUAUUAUUACUUAUUUAAUUUAACUUAAAUAAAAAAUACUUAGAAUGGCUACAUUGGUAUAGUAUAAGUGUGAUGUUUUUAUUUUCUCAACCUUUUAAUUUUAGUCUUCAAUAUAUAAUUUUAUGUUUAAAUUAUAUAGAUAAUUGAUUUAUCAUAUUUUUAUAAAAAAUUUACCAUACAAGAUGGUUAUCAGGUUUUGAGGUCGCGGUUUCAUUUUCUCAAGUACGAUCCGGAUGAGCGGAUCAUGCCAUACUUACAGAUGGCGGGAUUUGGGGACGUCGCAUUGAUCCGGAGGUUUGACCUGAGGUCGAACUUAAUAUCGCCUUGGUUAAGCGGUGGUGUACGAAGACCCACACCUUCAUUAUGCCGUGCAGGGAGUGCACUAUCACAUUGGAAGACGUCGCUACGCAACUUGGGUUAGGAGUUGACGAUGUUGUGGUCACGGAUCGAAGCAAUGUGUUGGAACCUUCAGUACUAUGCCACAGAUUGCUUGGACGGUCCCCUAAUGAUAGGGAACGAAAUUUCACAUGCUUGACAUUGAAAUGGUUGAGAGUAAAUUUUAAGGAGUUAUCGAGCACUGCCAUUAAGUACGAGAUGAUGUGUGCUGCGCGAGCCUAUAUUAUGCAGUUGAUCGGGGGGUAUUUAUGCCAAACAACACGUCUAAUAGGGUCCAAUUAAAGUAUUUGCCUCUAAUGGAGGAUUUUUCUCAUGUUGGUAGUUACAGUUGGAGAUCGGCAGUGUUGGCCGAAUUGUACUAUGAGCUUUGCCGAGCAACAAAACAUGGGGUUAGUAACAUGGCUGGUUGUCUGGUUCUACUGCAGUCUUGGGCUUUAUACAGGAUGCCGUUUCUAGCGGCUGUUAGGCACCAACCAUAUUCGUGGCCAGUUAUAAAUAGGUAAAAACAAAAUUAUACUUAACAUUUAACGGCUCAUAAGUGUGGAUAAUAUUUUCCAAAGUUUAACUGCUAACGUGUUUGUUUCAGUGUCAGAUGGGUCACGUCUCUGGGAAUUGAUGCGAUCCAAACAUUAAUCAUUUACCGCCAAAUGAUAGAGGCGUAUGCCGGAGAUAAAGUAAUAUAUAUUUAUAUGGUUUAAGUAACGUUGAUUUAACUUAUCCACUUGCAGUAUGUGAUGUGACUUGACUCAUUAUGUUAUAUUGUGUAGUUCUUGUGGAUGCCGUAUUCUGCAAUGAACAUUGCACCCAUUAUUCCUUAGUGGGUUCACGCUGAAGCCCAUAUGUGGUGCAUUAACAUGUCGGUGCUCAACUUUUCAACCAUUGAGUGGUACAACGGUGAUCGAGUUAUGCGACAAUUUAGGGGUAGACAAUUUGUGCCGGUCGAGCCAGAACAAUUUGAUGAAGUCCUCGGUAAGACCAUGAGGGGGAAACAUACAACAUAUUGGAGCGUGGAUGUAAGCCAAUUUUGGGCCACCCUCAAAACCCAACAACUAACCUACCCUAAUCCAAAAACCCCUAACCCAAUAAGCCCAUUAAACAAAACAAGCCCAAACCUUAGCCCAACAACCCAAAACCCAACACUUGACCCAGGCCCAGAAGCCCAAACUCCAGACUUAGGGUUUCAGAAACCUUAGCCUACUCAGCCGCAACCUUCCCCACUUGUACUUAGCCCCAUACACUGCUCCACUAUAGCAGCCCCAUACCCCCACGCGUCUGACACCAUCUGCCGCCGCAUGCUCCUCCACCACCACCAGCUCCUCCAUACCCUGCAAAGACAGAAGCAGACCAAACAGAAUGGGACAAAAGAUAAACAAUAUUUUCCUAGUUUUGUAGUCGGCUAUAAAGCUGAGAAAUAAACAUUUGUAAAGGGGGAUUUUUUUUGCUAUGAAAACAAAGAUUUUCUUUCAAUAUUAAAAGAUUAAAUACAAGAACCAUUCGAAAAUACAUAUACAAUCAGGGGCUCUAACACCAAAUCGGAGAAUCAAAUCUAAAACCUAAGGUGACUUUUUUUUCUUUUUUUCUUUACUGUUUUGAGUUUGUUUUUUACAUAAAAAUACUAAAAAAUAUCAAAAUAUAAAAACUAUUAAGCAUAAAUACCGGCCCCUGGCUGGAUUCCCCUCUCUUCUCUCUCUCUUAUCUCUUCCCUCUCUCUUCUUCUUUUCUUUCCCUCUCCCCAAAUGAUUUUUUGGGUUAUUUUAGGCCUUAUAUAGCCCUCCAAAACGACGUCGUUUUGGGGGCUACACUUAAGCCCCAAAACGACGUCGUUUUGGCCAUGCCCGACCCAUCCGACCCGACCCGCUAGAGGAUCCGCGUGUUUUCGUUUGAAUGGGAUAUUUAUGCGCGCAGUCCUUCCGCUUUUCUGAUGCUUCACAAUUAAGUUUUUUAUGGUUUUCAAUUUGGCCCUAUAAUUUCUUGCGCUUUUCGAUUUAGUCCCCGCCAAUGUGCUGCGUUUUAAUGGAAAGGAAUAAUUGUUGUUUCGGUCCCCCAACGUUUCACGCGCAUACAAUUAAGUCCAUUUUCUUUGUUUUCAUUUCAAAUUGGCCCCACAACUUUGUUUUUAAUUCAAUUUUAGUCCUUUUUUUGUUGAUUUUUAUAUCUUUAUUAAAUAUCCUUGUUAUUUUUAUAUUAUUAGUAUUAUUAGUAUUACCAUUAUUAUUAUUAUGUAUUAGUAUAUAUUUUUAUUAUGUACGUGUAUACCUAUAUAUAUUUUCAUAUUUAAUAUUUUUAUUUCACUUUAUUUUAAUAUUUUAUUAAUGUUAUGUUUGUUUCUUUUAUAUUCCAAUGUUAUCAUUAUUAUUAUUCUUAUUAUUUUUAUUAGUUUAUGCUUUGUUAUAUAUUUAUAUAUUUAUAAUACGUAUAUAUACUUGAUAUAUUUGUAUAUACCUCGGUAAUAUUAUUACUAGUUUUCAAUAUACGCAUAUAUUACCUAAAUAUUUUAGUAUUAUGUAUAUUCUUCAUGUAUUAUAUAUAUGUGUUCUUAAUACUAUACUUUAUUUGUGUCAUGUUUUUUUAUGUUGUAUUAUUAUAUUUUAAUAUUAUAAUAUAUAAUUAUAUAUACAUAUAUCUUUUAUAUAUAUUAUCAUUGUAUAUAUUUUAAUAUUAUUAGUUAUAUUUUUCUUUUACACUAUUGUACACAUAUUUCUAAUAUUAUAUUGUAUAUACUAUUGUUUAUAUAUAUAUGUGUGUAUGUAUUUGUGUAGUGUACAAAAUAGUUUUAUUAUUAUUCUUAUCAUUUCUAAGGUAUGCAUAUACUGUACAUGUUCUAUGCGUGUUGUAUGGAUUUUUAAUAUUGCUAUAUAUACAUAUGUCAUCGUACGCACGCAUUCUUAAUAUUAUUAUUACGUGUAUACAUUCAUUAUUUUCAUUUCGUGUUCAAUUCCAUUAUUACAUUAUACCUUCAUCUUUUCUAAUAUUAUUGUCACCUCGAUUAUUUGUUUCAAUAUAUUCCUAGCUCUUUCAUUUAUUGAUUUUUAUUUCAUAUUAUUUUACUUUGCAUUAUUUUGAAAAUAUUCUUAUUCAUGAUUUAAAUCAAUUUCAAUAAUCAAGGCAAUAUACCGAUUUAACAUUAAGUCAUCGAGUUCAUCGCUAUGUUGGGUGAACGUCAAUUGACUCGUGUUAAAAAGGCAUGCCCUUCUCAAAAAUCGGAAUAAACUAAAAUUUCUCGUUUUUUUCGGAUCAUAACUAAACUUUACAUUGAGUUCGCAUUUUUGAAAAUUAAGACAACAUGUGUUUAUGAGAUACCAAUUUUUGGGCGUCGCGAGGGUGCUAAUACCUUCCUCGCGCGUAACCGACUCCCGAACCUUAAUUUUCCUCUGGCUUUUAACGUAGACCUAAAUCCAGCCCUCCUUUUGUUUUAAAAAAACAAUGAAUCUAAUAGGUGUCCGAUCACACCUAGGAAAAGGAUCGGUGGCGACUCCCUCUUUAUUUUAAAAUCAAACUUCAGUUUUCAAACUUUUUCACUAGAUUGCCACAAUUAGCGACCCCAAACCAAAAUUUUUACGUCGCUACAGCUGGCGACUCCACUGGGGAGAAAUUGUUGAGAGUCGUGUUUGGAAUUAAACACAUUUUGUCAAAAUUUUCAAAUUUCCUUGUUCAAAGUAAAUAUUUGGUCAUGAUCCGAAAAAUCUCGUUUUCAAAAUUCAUGCAUUUAUAUCGUGCUGUAAAUAUUUCUUCUAACUUGCUUAUUUGGUUGUUUUUCAGUUUUUAAUUUUUAUGGUUUUAAUUUUGGUUUAGUUUCUUUAAAUAAAACGUAAAGGUUUACAAGUUUCUCCCCACACACCGUGCACGUGCAUUUUUUGUUGCAUAACAUGAGCUCUAUACCCGGGCUCCGUCCCUGUUAAGAGAAAGUAAACGCUACGCCUUCGUGAGUUAACUCGUUCCUCCGCACAGGCUAGUGAAUACUUUCGGGUUACAAAUGACUUAUGCUUUUGUGAGUUAACUUGUCCCUCCGUAUAGGCAUAAGUAAAUGUAAUCCCUCGAAUUGAUCUCGUAAGCCUGUGAUGGGCUAUGACCGAGGCUCCGUGUUAAUCUCAGCAGAUGAUAGUACGGGCAAUUCGAGUACCUAUCUAGAACCAAAAUCGCAUAUAGUGAACCAUACGAGCCACCUAACUAGAGCCAUGCCGAACCUCUGUCCGCUUAUAGUCACCAAAAUAAGUAUACAGGGAAAAUACCUUUUGCCUUUCAUUUACACUGUUUAUGCAAAGUAAUUGGAUUGGGUAGUUUAAUUUGUUUUUCAAAUUAUAUUUGUUGUGUUUACUCACCAAGUUUGUUUGUUUUUACUUUUAUUUUCAUCAUGCAUCAUAGGCAUCAUAUUAGGAAGGUGUUGAUUAAAAGUUGGUUGCCAAAAAACGGGUUUCUGAUGGAGGAGUCAAUUACACAAAUAACCGAGAAGAGUGCCGUGGUUCGGGACUGGUCUCUAAAAAUUCAGAAAGAAAAGGAGGAUAGUCUAGUGGAAGGGUGUAUUGCCAAUUUGCCCGAACAUAUAACUGUAAAUGUUCGCCAAAAUAACCUUGAGGAUUUGGUUCAAAUUUGGAAUCAGUGGGAUUCAGACACUAGAGACAUUUUCACUGAGAGGUAUGGGGAUAUAGCUCACCUGAUCACCAUCCAUGUAGACGAACAGUUGAUUCAAGCCAUGGUUCGGUUCUGGGACCCAGCUUAUCAGUGUUUCACCUUCAAUCAAGAAGACAUGACUGCAACCAUAGAAGAGUAUGCUGCUUUACUCCGCAUCGACAAUGUACAAUUCGGCAAAAUAUAUGUGAAGGAGCCUAAGCCGAUGACCUUCAAGAAAAAGUUAGUGAGACUGACAGACAUGACUGAUGCAUGGGUCGAAAAACAGAUAAAGAAGAAGAAUGAAACCAUUUGCAUUCCAUGGUCUUCCCUACGAGAUUUGGCUCUGAACCAUCCCAACAUGCUGAAAAGGGUAAAUCUAUUCGCUUUGGCCAUUUACGGUUUGGUCAUUUUCCCAAAAGUUCUCGGACAUCUCGAAGUUGCAGUAGUUGAUUUCUUCGAAAGGUUAAAACAAG